GAAACCCUCCUUCUUUUGUUGAACUUACAUUCCAUAUACUCCGAUUUGCUUCUGCUUAGGCGAAAGCCAUGUGUUUCUAGAGCUCGUCUCCAAGUUUCCAACCUCUCAUUCAACUCCUCCCUCGACUCUCCAAGGAGGACUAUGUCAUCUGCAAAAAGCAUGCAUCUCGGCGCUAUCUCUUGGAUUUGUUCCGUGAGGACAUCCAGAAUUAAGGUAAAAAGGUAGGGGCUAAGGGUUGACCCUUGAUGUAAACCAAUUGUGAUGGGAAAAUCGUCUGACUCUCCACCCUGUGUCCUAACACUAGUCGAUACCCUAUCAUACAUAUCUUGGAUAGCUCGAAUAUAUGCAACCCUAACCCCUUUCUUCUCUAGAGCUUUCCACAAAAUCUCUCUAGGCACUCUAUCAUACGCUUUCUCCAAGUCAAUAAAAAUCAAGUGCAAGUCUUGUUGGGCCAUGCGAUAUUGCUCCAUCACCCGCCGUAAUAAAUAAAUCGCUUCCAUGGUCGACCUUCCCGGCAUGAAACCAAAUUGAUUCUCAGUAACUUGAGUCUCCUUUCUUAAUCUCCGUUCGAUCACUCUUUCCCGUAAUUUCAUGGUAUGACUCAUGAGCUUGAUUCCCCUAUAAUUUGCACAAUUUUGUAUAUCCCCAUUGUUCUUAUAGAUUGGCACUAACGUGCUUCUCCUCCAUUCCUCCGGCAUGCGUUUUGACCUCAUAAUUUCGUUAAAGAGUUCGGUGAGCCACUCAAGACCUCUAUCUCCAAGAGUUUUCCACACUUCAAUAGGUAUGUGGUCUAGCCCCACCGCCUUACCAUUACUCAUUCUUUUCAACGCUUCCUUUACUUCCUAUUUCUGAAUCCGACGAUAGUACUUAUAGUUCCGGUCCUCUUCUCUUGUGUCUAGACUGCUAGAGUCAUAUCCAUAUCCAUCAUUAAAUAAGUUGUGGAAAUACGUCUUCCACCUUUCCUUGAUAUCUUUUUCAUGCACUAAGACUUUGCUUUCUUCAUCCUUAACACACUUUACUUGAUCCAAAUCUCUAGUCUUCCUCUCUCUACCCUUAGCAAGCCUAUAUAUAGAUCUUUCUCCGUCCCUGGUUCCUAGAGCUUGGUAUAGUCCGUCAAAAGCUUGGGCUCUUGCCUCACUCACCGCCUUUUUGGUUUCAUUUCUAGCUAUCUUAUACUUAUCCCAAGUUUCAGAAUUUCUACACCUAGACCACUCCUUGAAACACUCCUUUUUUACUCUAACUUUGCUCUGAACAUUUUCAUUCCACCACCACGAUUCUUUACCCCUAGGUCCAAAACCUCUAGAUUCACCCAACGUCUCUUUAGCCACUUUAAUAAUCUUUUGAGACAUCUUGUUCCACAUAUCAUUUGCACUUCCUUGUGAUUGUCCACACCAACCCUCCCAUAUCUUUUGUUGGAAGAUUCCUUGUUUCUCACCCUUCAAGUGCCACCAUUUGAUCCUUGGUGCUACCAGAGGACUUCUUCUCUUUGCCCUAUCUCUAAUUCUUACAUCCAUAACCAAAACUCUAUGUUGGGUAGUCAAGCUCUCUCCCGGGAUAACUUUACAGUUCAAGCAAUACUUCCUAUCAGACUUCCUGAUAAGGAAGAAAUCUAUCUAAGAACAUGUCCCUCCACUUUUGUAAGUGAUAAGAUGUUCCUCUCUUUUCUUAAACCAUGUAUUGGCUAUAGAAAGAUCCAAAGCCUCUGAAAACUCCAAGAUGGAUUUACCCUCCCCAUUCAUCUCUCCUAGGCCAAAACCCCCAUGCACCCCCUCAAAACCUCUAGCCACGCUACCUACAUGUCCAUUGAGAUCCCCUCCUAGGAAAACUUUCUCUCCUUAGGGUAUAUCCUGAAGUACCCCUUCUAGAUCCUCCCAAAAUUUUACCUUAAAGUGUUCUACUAACCCAACCUGAGGUGCGUACCCACUAAUAACAUUAAAGGUGUCCUGUCCCACUACCAAUUUUAAGACUAUGAUACGAUCUCCUACUCUUCUUACAUCCACGACAUCCUUCUUCCACUCCUUGUCCACAAUAAUCCCUACCCCAUUUCUUGAUCUGAUUUUUCCCGUAUACCACAGCUUAAAUCCCGAGUUGUCUAAUUCUUUCGCUUUUUCACCUGUCCACUUAGUUUCUUGUAGGCACAUAAAAUUGAUCUUCCUCCUCACCAUAACAUCCACUAUUUCCAUAGAUUUUCCAGUAAGUGUGCCUAUAUUCCAUGUACCAAAGCGAAUCCUCCUGUCAUGAACUAGCUUCUUUACCCACACCCGUUCACGAAAAUGUGGGAACCCUUGCUUACUUUUCACUACAUCCGGGCGGCGAUGCAGCGGCCCUUGCUCUUUUGACACUGUACUCGAGCCAUACAGCGCGUUGCUUCCGGGCAACGACCUAGCAUUCACAUUAUUACGUAAUUGAUCCAUGUCAUAGAGAUUCGACAAAGUUUAACGUUGGCUGUCGAAAGCCUAACACAACCCUCUCCUUUUAUCCGGGCUUGGGACCGGCUAAGAAUAGCAAAGCUACCCUAGGCAGGAUUUUUUCUUAUGAUAACAAACCUCACAAAAAAGUACUAAGUUGAAUCAAUGUAAGCACUUUAUUUCUUUAUAAAGAAAUCCCAAAACAAGAUAAAAUUUAUCUUUCAGAAAAGGUAUAUUCACCUUCUCAAAAUAACUUGCUAAGGUUCUCAUUUUUCCUAUGACAAUGGGCCUCACAACUUCUCUCAAGGAAGGAUCAAGGAUACAAGGAGCAAUGUGAGCUUUACCCAAGACCCUUGCAUGGUACAUGUCCUGAAUAUCUUAUAGGGGUAUUUUCCUAAAUGGGUUAAAGGAAGAGUCAAGGGUGAAUUGAAAGGUGCCUAGUGGAAUACCAAAGAUGAUGAAUUAUGCCCUGUAGAAAGAUGAUAGGAGUUGGAUAUUAAAUGGGGGGAUUUUCAGGCAGUGAAGGAAGGGCUAUAUAUAGAAGUUACACAUCAUACAAAACAACAUAUGAAUUGCUUUCUGGGAAACUUGUAGGAACCAACCCAAAAGAAGGUUCAGUGAUGAAUUCUGCAACUGGCAGAAACAAAUGGUACUUUGACAAGCCAAGAGAGUUUAAGAGAUAUGUUGAUGCAUAAAUGCAGUUGAAUUUCAUCUUGAUGACAAGGUCAAACUUUUGGUAGUGGGGAGUGUUGUUUGAGAUCAUGAUAAUUAUAAAGGGAGAGGGGACAAUUCACAUGUAUAAUUAAAAAUAAAAAGGAAGAUGGAGAGUUAGCUAGGAUAGUUAUAUGAUUUGGUUUUGUUUGAAGGCUUUCGCUUAGUUUGUUUCACUUAUUUGGUUUUUCUUUCGUGUUAAUUAGUGACAGGAUAUUUAACUAAGAUCAGUUGUGGACUUCUCAGUCCCAACUUUGACUAGUUCCAUUUAUGUAUUCAACUAUCAAAGAAUCAACCAAUCUAAAAGAGAUUCAAAAAUAUUCACAUAUUAAUAAGUUAGAGAUAACAUAUCAGUUAGGGAGAUUGGUUGCUAAUGGCUGAGUGUCUGUGCUCCUGUUGCAGGGCUGACAUGGAGGAUUGACAUGUGCCUUAGAGUGCCAUGUAGGGUGCCACGUGUAUUUUGUGGACCAUGGAUAGUACAUCAGCCCCCCAAGCUCUGAGUUGGCUUGUGGGCAAAAGAGAUUUUCUGGUGUCGAAGAAAAGUAUUUGAUGUUUGUGGUUGUUGUCUUGACAAGUAGAGAGCGACUAGUUUGUCGAGCCCCCAAGUGUGGACGAGUGUUUGUCCGAUGUUGGGUGUGGUAACCUCGACAGGUGAGAGAAUUUCAGGUCGAUGUGGCUUGUCAAGCCCCCGAGCCUAGACAAGUGUUGUCUAGACAGCUUCUAUCAAGUUGUCUGGGAUGGACAUGUCUUUGACGUGUCAGGUGAGGAAAGUCUAUAGAUUUGAUAAUUUUACCCUUUUCUGACCGUUGGAAGGGUGCAUUGAAGACAUACAUUAUGUUUUGUCUGCUGCUACAAGCAUCUGCGGCACACAUGCAGUACUCUUGCAUACGUGUCACUCAUGGAGUGGGUACCUACUGGAGUUGUGAUGCGUGGGUGAGUGGGGGUGCAUCGUGGUGCGAAAAUUUAGGGCACCACUUAUGCUCCCACCAGUUACCGAAAAGUUUGUCUUCCUUUCAAAUGGAGUGAACAUUUGAUUUUGGGUCACCGUUACUUUGAGCUAUUGUUUCCUUGCCUUCUGCUUGCGAUCCCUUUUCUUUUUCCUUCACUUUCUUGCGAUCCAUUUUCUUCUUCCUUCACCUCUACGAUGAGUGUCGCUGCUCUUUAACGUUAGGUGAUGCUGGCAAGCCUUGAGAACUCUUGCAAGAUAGUCGUUCAAGCUUGCGGGAGUGAUGACUUUCCCUUCUUGAGGGCGACGUCGAGUAGUCCCCCCUUCUUCUUUAUUUAUAGGUGUCUGUUAGAGGUCUUGGGUCUCAUUCUCCUCUUGACCACUUUCUAGUGUGCUCUACUUGAGCACUUGAAUGUGGUUCCUUCUCAGCUCCACCCAAACAAUUGGGCAAUGGUGAGAGCUUUUGAAAUUUUAUGCCUUUUCUUCAACAUCCAGCCUAUUGUACCAGUCUUUUUGUUUUUCUUUCAAAUGAAACUAACUAGCAAGAUUGAUUGGGUCUUAUUGAAAAACAUGUCCAAGAAGUUAUUUGAGUUCGACUCAAACAUCUUUCGCCGCUUUAAGGAUCGUUUCUUUAAGGUCGUGGUUAAUGGUUUGCCACUAAUGUUCAAUAAGGAUGGGGAGUCCCACUUCCCGUUCUACUGGCAGUUUAACCCUACCAGGCUCAAGUCAUUUGAUGAAGAUCUGUUGACCCUUGUGGAGAGGUUCGACAAGGCUAUUUUGGAGCAAUUGUCGGUCUCGCUGGACUCGCAGGCCAUUCUGUCACUUUCCUCAGUGAACGUCCCCAUGCUGCCUUGGACUGUAAAGUGCUUAACCUUGUCCUUUUUUGUGUUUGAGGUUGGUGUUGGCCAAAACUAACACUUGCUUGUGAUGUUGUUGCUUAUUUUGCAGGUAUUAUGGGUGACUUUGCUUGGAGGCAACUCAUGAAGCAGGUGUUAGUCGCUAUUCAUGGUUUUUUUUUUUGUAGGAAUUGUACAUAUUUUUAUGUUUAAUGUGAUUUUAUAGAGUAGAUACUCUCAUUCUGUGAAUUAAUGUUAAAUCCAACUCAAUUUUAGGCCAAAGAAAAGAAGGUUCAAGUAGCUUAUGACUCGCUUAGCAAGGCAGAUCCGCUCAGCGAGUGACAUCUGCUUAGCGAGGCAUACAACUUGCUUAACGGGUUGGGAAACCCUAGAAGAGGAUCAAUCAAAGAUGUGCUCACCCAGCGCACAGCCAGCUCGCCCAGCGAGGACGUUGUCUCUGUUGGCGCUCAUCGCGCCCAGUCUCGCUAAGCCAAAAUUCACUUACUCUCGCUUAGCGAGCCUUCGGAAGCUGAAAAGUCUAAGAGCCUUUAUAACACUGAGGUUGGCAAAAUUUCAUGGGAGAGAGUUUAGAGAGCGCAUUUUUUGAAGAACAGAAGACAGAAAGAGAGUAGCAAAGAGAGCUUAGGUUAGAAGGAGUGAAGUUUAAGGGUUUAAAGGUUGUAGGAGACAUCCUCAACCAUCUUUUGCCAUUUUCUUUCACUCGAAGCUAUUCCUUCCUUGUAUUGUGAGAUUGCAUUGCUUGUAAUGGAAGGCUAAUCCUCUUUGUUGGGGAGUUCUGCUGAAAAACCUUGAUGUAACAUUCUUACACUAUCUAUUUAAUGUUAUUUUUAUGUGUUCAUUGCUUCUAUCUAUGCUUAUUUUACAUGCUUGUGGCUUGAUCAUCCAUUUGUAUGUACAGUUAGGAUUUUUAGCAUUGGGAAAUGCUUUAAAGCCUUAGAACUUGGUAGAGCAAUUUAGAAAUCUAUAUGUCUAGGAAUGGAGUGCAGUGAUCUAGUCCAUAUUAUGCUGUAGGCUUAAUGCAACUCUUUUAGACUAAGUUUGUUGAGGGAUUAAAGACGAAGUUUAAAGAGAGUUAGGCUCAUUCACUAGAGGGAUCUUGGUUUGAGUAGGUUCUCAGCAUAAGAACACUAGGAUAAUGUUAAAUAGAGAAAAAUAUGUAUUAAACAUUAAGGGAAAUUCAGUAGAACAACUCAAGGCUUUUUACUUGAUAGUUUUCACCUUCAUGAUUUUAGAUAUUUAGUUUAUGUUCAAAUAGAUUUUAGUACAGAAUCCAACUUGAUAUUUACCUUGUUUUUAAUCCCUACAAAUGUUUGCAUACUGAAUGUACAAUGUCUGAGUGAAACAAAUUCCCUGAGGAUACGAUACUCGGUCUUACCGUUUUGUACUACUUGAGCGAAUCGGUACACUUGCCGACUAGCGAACAGCAGGUCGAACCUGUGGGUGAGACUGUGUCACCGUUUUCUACUAUUCCUAUUGUUGGAGAAAAAGGUCAACCUAUUGGUAAGGUUGUCCCUAUUGCUGCUCUGAGGUCACCUCUGGUGCCUCUUCUUUUGUUUUGGCAAAGAGAAAAUAAGAUGACGGUGUUGGGCCGUCUGGCCAAAAAAAGUCGAAGACCUAUAUGAACCUUCGAGCCCUGAGGCAGGCUGUAGGGUUGGCGCUCGAUGUGGGUCACCCUUCAAUUAUGCAGGGUGUGCCUCCGGCUUCAUCGACCAUCGAGGUUCCUAUUGUUGAUGCUGCUACUCCUAUUCCUUCAUCUCAUUCUGUCGUGGUUGUUCGGGAGACUGCUUGUUAGUCGUCAUUUACAACUAACUUUUGUAUUGAAAAGCUUCAUGAAAUUUAUAUCUUUUCCCCAAUUUAUGGUUCUUUUUGUAGGUUUGUACAUAUUUUUUGUUUAGUUUAAUUUUACUAAGUAGAUACUCCCAAUAUUAUGAAUUAAUGUGGUUCAACUUCAGUUUCAGGCUAAAGGAUGAAGAAGAAGAAGGUUGAAGAAGUUGUUGUCUCGCUAAGCGAGGCAUAUGUGCUUAGUGAGUAAUAUUCGCUAAGCGAGACAUUCAGCUCGCUUAACGAGUGGGAAGAAUUUGGAAGAGAAUCUUUAGCUCGCUCAACGAGUCAUUUGUCUUUUCUCUUGCUCAGCACGCCCAACUCGCUGAGCGAAAAUCCACUAACUCGCGCUUAGCAGGAAAAUGGCACUAAGUGAGCCUUCAGAAUCAAAAAGCCCUUAAAAGACUAAAGUUGGCAAAAAAAAUAAGGGGAGUUCAGUGAGUUUUUGUGAAGAGAGACGUAACAGAGCAAGAGAGAAAAACUUGAACGAAAGGCCUCAACUUUCAAGAAGAUUUUAGGUUUAGGAGUGAUUGUUAGGUUUCUAGAGGUGGAGGAGACAUCCCCACAACUUUGUAAUCUUAAUUUUCCCUCAAAAACUUUAUCUUGGUGCGGAAAGGUGCUAACAUGCAAUGGAAGGCUAAUUCUCUUGUUGGGAAUUUCUGCUUAGCUUUGAUGUAAAACUUUUCACUAUCUAUUUAAAGUUGUUUUUAUGUGUUCAUUGCUUCUAUCUGUAUGUAAUUCUUGCGUGCUUGUGGCUUGAUCAUCCAUUUGUGUGUAAAGUUAGGAUUUUUAGCAUUGGAAAGUGUUUUAAAUCAUUAGAACUUGAUAGAGCAGGCUAGAGAACUGUAUGUCUGGACACGGAAUGCAGGGAUUUAGUUUAUAAUAUGUCGUAAUCUUAAUGCAAAUCAUUUAGGCUAAGUUUGACGAGGAAUCUAGAACGAAUCUUAAAUAGAAUUAGACUCAUUCACUAGAGGGAUAUUGGUUUGAGUAGUCAUUUUCGGCAUAGAACACAGAAACAACCUUAAAUAGAGAAAAACACUUAAUUACGUCAUUUUGUUCAGUAGAAGGACCCAACGUUUGAAUCAUCUGUUUAUCUCUCACAUUUAGAUAGUUAAUUUUGUAGUUAAAUUAGAACUAUAGACAUAACUUCUCUUUAUAUUUACUAGCUUUAUACAAAUGCUUACCUACUGAAUGAAUGCUCCCUAAAUGAAACAAGUUCCCUAUGGACUCGACACUCGGUCUUACCAUUCUAUAUAUUACUUGUGCGACUCGGUGCACUUGCCGAUUAGCAUCACUGACCAGUGAAACAAGUAUUUUAGCGAGAAGCGAACAAAGUUUUUGGCGCCGUUGCCGGGGAACUUCUUUCCAUUUGGGAAGUAUAGUUCAGUUUGUAGGCAUUGAUUCUUUAUUCUUUGAUUAAUUUUUGUGUGAAUAGUUAGCUGAAAUUUAUUUUUCUCUUGAUUAGGUUGACUGCUGCUCUUGUUAGUGUUUUGUAUGCGAGGUAACCCUUCUACAGGUGAUUUAGCUUCAUUGGAUUUGGAGAUAGAAGCCACUUGUAGGAGGAACAACAUAGAUAGAAGAAGGAAAAUACUGCAGGACAAGACAACACCACCAAUUCCAGAGGAACCUCAAUCAUUUGAGUCGUCUUCUAUUUUUCCAGAGCCAAGAGAAUUAGAAAUAGGUGCAUCUGAGGCUAACAUAAUGGUUGAAGAUCAAUCUAGGAGGGUUACCCUUGAAGAUUACUCUAGCUCGACUAUGCCACAAUUCUUCAUAAAUAUAGUGUGGCCAAAAGUUCAAGCACACAACAUUACAUACCCUCACUCCUUAAUACAGUUAAUUCAGGGAAAUCUAUUUCAUGGCUUGCCGAACGAAGACACAUAUGCACACUUGGCAACAUACAUUGAGAUUUGCAAUACAUUCAAGUUUGUCGGUGUUCUUGAGGACGCAGUGAGGCUGAGUUUGUUAUCUUUUUCAUUGUUUGGAGAAGCAAAGAGAUGGUUACAUUCAUUUAAGGGAAACAGUCUAAAGACUUGGGAUGAAGUGGUGGAGAAAUUUUUGAAGAAAUAUUUCCCUGAGUCUAAGAUAGUUGAAGGAAAAGCAGCCAUCUCUUCAUUUCACCAGUUUCCGGAUGAGUCUCUAAGCGAAGCACUUGAACGAUUCCGUAGCCUGCUGCGGAAAACACCGACUCAUAGAUUCUCAGAACCAAUUCAGCUCAAUAUUUUUAUAAAUGGGUUAAGGCUGCAGUCCAAUCAACUGUUGGAUGCUUUUGCUGGGGGGAAGAUCAAAUUGAAGACCCCGGAAGAAGCCAUGGAACUCAUUGAAAACAUGGCUACAAGUGAUCAUGCCAUCUUGCGUGAUUGGACUCACAUUCCAACAAAGAGAAGCCUGCUGGAGCUUUCCUCUUAAGAUGCAUUAUUGGCACAAAACAAGUUGUUGUCUAAGCAGCUUGGACAUUGACAGAAACAUUGAGUAAGUUGCCUAAUCAAUUACAGGUUAAUCAACCUUCACAUUCAGUUGUUUUGCAGGUUGGAGGUUGCAGCAUAUGCGGAGGAGCUCAUGAAUCUGGACGCUGUAUUCCCCUGGAUGACACAUCCUAAGAGGUAAAUUACAUGGGAAACCAAAAUAGGCCAGGAUUUAAUGCAGGUGGAUAUGCAGGUUACCAACAAGGUUCCAAUUAUUACCAACAACCUUGGAAAUCAGUUCAACAAGGACCAAGGCGGAUCAUCUAAUAGGCCUCAGAACCAAGGGCCUAGCCUCUAUGAUAGAACCACCAAACUGGAGGAGACUUUAGCUCAAUUUAUGCAGGUUACAAUGUCAAAUCAUAAGAGCACCGAGUCUGCCAUUAAAAACCUGGAGAUUCAAGUGGGGCAGCUAGUCAAGCGAAUAACAGAGAAUUCUUCUAGCAAUUUUGGAGCAAACACUGAGAAGAAUCCAAAGGAAGAAUGCAAAGCUAUCAUGACGAGGAGCAGAAAGGAAAACCUGGUUGAGGAUGAGGGAAGGAUUAGUGACAAGCAAGAGCUUGUGAUUGAAGAAGGAGAAAAAGAGGAAGAAGAGGAUCAGUUGAUGGAGAACAAAAUAUAUGAUUGUGAGAAAUAAAUAAAUAAAGAAAAAGAAAAAGAAAAAGAAAAAAAAUGAAAAAAAUAGAGAAAGUGAGGGAGAAAGGAAGACAAAGAGUGAGCUUGCAAGAGAAAAGAAGAAAGAGGUUGUCUCAUGUACUGGGAAGGAAGCACCAUACCCUCUGGUGUCAUCAAAGAAAGAAAAGGAGCGACAUCUGGCUUGUUUCCUUGACAUCUUCAAGAAAUUGGAGAUAACCAUUCCCUUUGGAGAAGCCCUAUAGCAAAUGCCACUCUAUUCUAAGUUUUUGAAAGAUCUGCUGACCAGAAAGAGCAAAUACAUCCAUAGUGAUAACAUUGUGGUGGAAGGGAACUGUAGUGCGGUGAUUCAAAGAAUCCUUCCACCUAAGCAUAAGGAUCCUGGGAGUGUUACUAUUCCUUGCUCUAUUUGUUCGGUGUCGUUUGGUAAAACUCUCGUUGAUUUGGGGUCCAUUAUAAAUUUGAUGUCUCUCUCCAUGUGCAGCAAAAUUGGAGAGUUGGAGAUUAUGCCAACUACAAUGACACCACAACUUGCAGAUCGGUCUAUUACAAGGCCUUAUAGCGUAAUUGAAGAUGUUUUGGUUAAGGUGCAGCAUUUUACUUUCCCUGCGGAUUUUAUUCUGAUGGAUAUUGAAGAGGACGCUGAAAUUCCCUUAAUUUUGGGUUAUCCCUUCAUGUUAAUCGCCGAUUGUGUGGUGGAUAUGGGAAAGGGUAAGCUAGAAAUGAGCAUGGAUGACCAAAAAGUCACAUUUAACUUAUUUGAGGCAAUGAAGCACCCAGAUGAUCACAAGGCCUGUUUUAAAGUAGAAAAAGUGGAACAUGAGAUAGAUAUGGUAGCUAGAGCCAUGGUACUGUAGUCCCUACUUGAAAAAGCAUUGAAUAACACUAUAGAAGGUCUGACAAUAGAAGAAGAAAAAGAAGUGCAGACCUAUUUGGAGGAAUUAGAAGGUGUAAAGAAGGACAAUCCAGCGAAAAAGGAUAAAGUGGAGUUGAAGACCCUUCCUGAACACCUGAUGUAUGUAUUUAUAGGAGAAAAUGAAACCAAUCCGGUGAUCAUCAGCAGUUCUUUGAGGAAGGAAGAGGAGGCUCAGCUGGUGAAGGUUUUGAAGAAACAUAAGGCAGCCAUUGGAUGACACAUUUCUGACUUGAAAGGAAUCAACCCAUUUUACUGUAUGCAUAAGAUCAAUAUGGAAGCUGACUAUAAGCCUGUAAGACAGCCACAAAGAAGACUUGAUCUAGUUAUGAAAGAGUAAAUGAGGAAGGAAGUGCUUAAAUUGCUAGAAGCAGGGCUCAUUUAUCCCAUGUUAGAUAGUUCUUGGGUUAGUCCUGUGCAGGUGGUUCCCAAGAAAGGAGGCAUGACAGUUAUUAGGAAUGAGAAGAAUGAUUUAAUUUCCACAAGAACUAUCAUUGGCUGGAGGAUGUGUAUUGACUACAGAAAAUUGAAUGACGCCACCAGAAAAGAUCACUACCCACUUCCAUUCAUGGAUCAAAUGCUUGAGAGGCUAGCAAGGCAAUCAUUAUAUUGCUUUUUAGAUGGAUAUUUUGGCUACAAUUAAAUUGCAGUAAACGUAAUGACCAAGAGAAGACAAUAUUUACCUUCCCCUUUGGUGUGUUUGCCUAUAAGCGAAUGCCUUUUGGCCUUUUCAAUGCUCCUGCAACUUUUCAAAGUGUAUGAUGGCAAUCUUUGCCGACAUGGUGGAGAAAUGUAUAGAAGUAUUUAUGGACGACUUCUCUGUCUUUGGCUCCUCUUUUAACUGUUGUCUAUCCAAUCUAGAGAGAGUAUUGCAAUGGUGUGAAGAAACCAACUUGGUGCUUAAUUGGGAAAAAUGUCAUUUUAUGGUGCAAGAAGGCAUUGUGUUUGGUCAUAAAAUUUCUGCAAGGGGGAUUGAAGUAGAUAAAGCAAAGACUCAUGUGAUCAAGAAGCUGCCCCCUCCGGUAAAUGUUAAGGGAGUAAGAUGUUUUCUUGGGCAUGUUGGGUUCUAUAGGCGAUUUAUAAAGGAUUUCUCAAAGAUUGCCAAACCGCUCAGCAAUUUGCUUAACAAGGAUGCUGUGUUUUUGUUUAAUGAAGAUUGUUUGAAAGCAUUCAACACUCUCAAGACUAGUCUAGUGUCCGCUCCCAUCAUUACAGCGCCUAAUUGGGGCCAAGAAUUUGAGCUAAUGUGUGAUGCAAGUGAUUAUGUUGUAGGUGUUGUCUUGGGCCAGAGGAAAGGCAAAGUAUUCCAUGCUAUUUACUAUGCUAGCAAAGUUUUGAAUGAUGCUCAGAUCAAUUAUGCUACCAUAGAGAAAGAAAUGUUAGCAAUAGUUUAUGCAUUGGAGAAAUUCAGGUUAUACUUGGUGGGAUCGAAAGUUAUCAUCUAUACUGAUCAUGCAGCCAUCAAGUAUUUGCUAAAUAAAGCUGAUUCCAAGCCUCGGUUAAUUAGAUGGAUUUUAUUACUUCAGGAGUUCGAUCUAGUUAUCAAAGACAAGAAAGGCUCUACAAAUCUGGUAGCCGACCACUUGUCAAGACUGGUUAAUGAGGAGGUGACUUUGAAAGAGCUAGACAUAAGAGAUGAAUUUCUCGAUGAAUCCCUGUUCAUGAUAAAUGAGAGACCUUGGUUUGCUGACUUGGCUAACUUCAAAGCAGUUGGAAUUAGCCCUAAGGAUUUGACUUGGCAGCAAAGGAAGAAAAUCCUACAUGAUGCUCGUUUUUACAUCUAGGAUGAUCCACAUUUGUUCAAGGUUGGUGCUGACAAUCUUCUGAGAAAGUGUGUAACAAAGGAGGAAGCCAAGAGCAUAUUAUGGCAUUGCCACAAUUCACCAUGUGGAGGACAUUAUGGUGGAGACAAAAUAGUAGCUAAGGUCCUACAAUCAUAAUUCUUUUGGCCAACACUCUUCAAGGAUGCCUAUCAACAUGCACUACAAUGUGAUCAAUGCCAGAGAAUGGGAGGAAUUUCCAAAAGAAAUGAAAUGCCCCUGUAGAACAUAAUGGAAGUGGAAAUCUUUGACUGUUAGGGAAUCGACUUUGUAGGUCCCUUUCCCCCAUCCUUUGGCAAUGAAUAUAUUCUCGUAGCUGUGGAUUAUGUCUCCAAGUGGGUAGAAGCAGUGGCUACCCCAAAGGAUGAUGCCAAAACUGUAGUAAAGUUCUUGAAGAAGAACAUAUUUGCUAGGUUUGAGGUGCCUCGGGUCCUAAUCAGUGAUGGUGGCUCUCAUUUUUGCAAUAGCUAGUUGCAGAAGGUGCUAGGCUAUUAUAAUGUCACACACAAAGUAGUUUCACCCUAUAACCCUCAAACAAAUGGCCAAGCAAAAGUCUCCAACAGGGAAUUGAAGAAAAUCUUGGAGAAGACUGUGGCUUCAACUCGGAAGGACUUGGCAAACAAGUUAGAUGACGCAUUAUGGGCAUACAAAACUGCUUUCAAGACCCCUAUAGGCCUAUCUCCAUUCCAAAUGGUUUAUGGGAAAUCCUGUCACUUAUUGGUGGAAAUGGAACAUAAGGCAUAUUGGACCUUAAAAUUUCUGAACUUUGAUGGGGGUUGCAUCAAGGGAAAAGAGGAGAAAAGAGGAAGAUAAAGCUCUUGGAGUUGGAAGAAAUGAGAUUGAAUGCAUAUGAGUCUUCAAAGUUGUACAAGGACAAAGUGAAGGCUUACCAUGAUAAGAAGUUGCUCAAGAUGGACUUUAGCCCAGGACAACAUGUGAUGUUGUUCAACUCAAGAUUGAAGUUAUUCCAAGGCAAGGUCAAAUCCAAAUGGUCUGGACCAUUUACAAUCAAGGAAGUCAGGCCAUAUGGAGCAAUAGAAUUGUUCGAUCCUCAGUCAGAGACUCCAGAUAGGACAUGGGUAGUAAAUGGUCAGAGGUUGAAGCUUUACCAUGGUGGAAGCAUUGAGAGGUCAACCAUCGUCCUUCAUUUACAAGACACAUGAGGUAAUAUGUGUCAAGCUAAUGACGUUAAGCGAGCGCUUACUGGAAGGCAACCCAACUCUUUUUAUUUUCAUUAAUCAUUGCAUAUAAUUAGGAUCAACUUGUUUAUGAUUGCUUGAGUAAGUCAUCAGCAUGUUUUGCAUAGAGAUAUGGGGUUGUCAAAGCUUCUUUGAAGCUGUGGAUGAAAAAUAACUCAGAAAAUUUUUCAGUCAUCCACUCACUCAACGUGCCCUGUGCACUAAGCAAAUCAUCAUGCAUGCGCUGAGCGAGUCAUUACUCGCGCUAAGCGCAUCAACCCCUACCCAUUGGAUGAUGGGGUCUCGCUAAGCGAGCCUUGUGCACUAAGCCUAAAAACCUCUUUGAAAUUGCAUUUAAUGGAAUUGGGCUAAGUGAGUCAUCUCGCUAAGCGCACAACAUAGUCUCGCUAAGCGAAACUUUGCGCUAAGCGCAAUUCCUUCUCUGUCUGGACCAUCAUGUGAAUUGGGCCCAGCGGGUCAGCCCGGUAAGCCCAAAUCCCUCUCGGGUAUGGAAUUGCGCUAAGUGAGACGGUCUCGCUAAGCGUGCCCCACUACUACAUUAGGAAGCAUUUAAUUCGCUAAGCGGGCACCUAUCCCGCUAAGCGAAAGUUGCAGACCAAUCAAAGCUGCAGAUCAUGCUAAGUGCAUACCUUUCGCGCUAAGCCCAAAUCCUUCUCGGGUUUUCUAAUUUUCGAAUUAGGCUGAGCGAGUCUAUCAUACUGAGCACGUGAAUUUAAAAUCUGAAAAUUCAAAAGUCACUGAGUGCUUGCUUAGUGAGUCACUCGCACUAAGCGAGACAGUUGAAACUGCCAAAAAUAAGACUUAACUGCUCUGGGCAGUUUCUUUUAUGCAAUUUACAAAUUUCUUCUACUUGCAUCUUUGUCAUUUCUGUACUCAUAUGCACUGCACACUCACUUUCUCUGCUUCUUACUCCCAACUUGCAUUCUCUACUCACUGCAAUCCAAGUAACUACUUCUCACUUUGCCUUUUUAAUUUUCAUUUAUGAACCUUAGGAUAGAAGCCAUGCUUAGGUUUUCAAAGCUUUGAUUAUGUGUUGAUUCUACUGUCAUUAGGGUAGUUAUUAAAAACCAUGUUCUUAGGGGUUUUGUUUCGCACAUAAUGUAUGUUGUUUUGCUGUGAAUUGCUUAGGUUUUGAGGCCUAAUAGAGGCCUAUAGUUGGGGGCUGCAAAGCCCCAAUUUUUUUGGAAUUCUCGAUGUUCUCGCUAUGCGAGCCCGUUCGUUAAGCAAGUUCAUCAAUUCUUGAUGAAUUUCUGGGUUUUUUGAUGAACUCGCUAAGCCAGCCCUGUCCCGCUAAGCGUGUUCAUCAUUUUUGUUUAAAUGUUUGAAUGUAUGUAUGAAAUCGCUAAGCCACUGCACUUUAGCUUAGCGAGUGCUUAAAUUUCCAGAUUUUGUUUUUAUGUUCGUAUGAACUUGCUAAGCUAGCAUAUCACGCUUAGUGAGUUGUGUUGCUUAGGUCAGAGUCAACGAGGUUGUUAGUCUUCUGUUGGUGGCUAAGCAAGUCAGUCUCGCUAAGCCACCAUGCCUCUAUAGCUUGAAUAAGCCUGGGCUAAGCAAGUCAGUCUCGCUAAGCCUAAGGCAAUUUAGUUUUCCGAGUUUUUGUUCAUGUGCUAAGCGAGUUAGUCUCGCUAAGCGCAAUUUCUUCUCUGUUUUGGAAUUAGGCUUAGCAAGCCUGCUCGUUAAGCCAAUUAUGUUCCAGUGGUCAAGUUUGGCUAAGCGCUUGCUGGCGCUAAGCCUGUAUAGUGUGUCACUCUAAGUGAGUCAGUAUCGCUAAGCGCAAUUAGCUCUCUGUCAGAGAAUAAGGCUUGGUGAGCCAUGCUCGCUUAGCCAUUAUGUUGUUUCAGCUAAGCGAGUGUGUCUCGCUCAGCCAAAGUCUGUGUUUUUGUGUUGUCGUGCUAAGCGCGCCCUGUGCGCUAAGCGUGUGCUGUUAUUUUCAUAAGCGAGUCAGUCUCACUAAGUGCCCAGUCUGUUUUUCUGUUUUAUUUUUCUAUUUUCAGUUUGAGAUAAAACCUGUCUAACUUGAUUCCUGUGAUUCUUUUUUGAUGCAGAUGGCCUCCUGGAAAAGGAAAUGCACCGCCUCCCGGCCCUAGGAGCCUUAUGACACUACCAGAUUUAUUUCUGAGGCUACCUAGGAGAGGUAUUCCCAGAAUGUUCACUCUCGGAACAUCCUUCUGGAGAGGAACGUCACUCUUUAUGUCACAGAAUAUGAUGAGUUCCGCUAGGAGCUCGAGAGGCGAUGUUGGCAUAAAGCCUUGACCAGGCAAAUGGAUGGGCAUAUAAUUGAAGCCCUGGUCAAGGAGUUUUAUGUGAAUUUGUAUGAUCCUGAAGACAAAUCCCCCAGGCAAGUCAGAGUGCAGGGGAAGCUAAUCAAGUUUGAUGCCAUCUCUCUUAAUGCCUUCCUGGAGACGCCACCAGUUCUUCAGCCAGGGGAGCAGUACACUUCUUAUUCCAUUUUCUGUUGAUCAUGCCCAAAUCCUUAAGAGCUUGCUUCCAAGCUCUGCAUUCCAGGGCGCGGAUUUGUUUUGAAUGCUGAAGGGGCACCCUGAAAGCUCCUGAGGAAGGACUUGACUACUCUGGCACAGACUUGGAGUGUCCUGUCCUAUUCUAACAUCGCCCCCACCACUCACACGUUCGAUCUGAAUAUAGACCAAGCAAGGUUAGUUUAUGGAUUGGUUAUGCGAAUGGACAUGGACUUUGGCUUGCUCAUCCCAGGCCAGAUCUCACAGAUGGCCCAGUCUAACUCCUAUCGACUUGGCUUCCCAACCCUCAUCACUGCUUUAUGCAUCGCCUAGGGAGUCGUCUUAGAUUCACUAACAUUUGAGUCCCUGAGCCCCGCCAUUAACUUGGCAUACAUCUUGAAGAAUUUUUGGAACCCAGAUGAUCCUUCGAUCACCUUUCCGGGGACCCGUAAGGCUCGGGCUUGGGGACCAUCGAAUGCUUCUGCUCCUUCUUCUUCUUCUUCUUCUCCAGUUCCAGCCCCAUUUUCUUCUGCUCCAAAUUCUACUUAUGCACCUCCAGUACCUUCCGGCCCCUCCGCUCUAAGCUCAGACGCCAUGGUGACGAUGUUGUAGAGCCUUCACCAAGGCUUAUGCCUAGUGAUGCAGAACAUUCAUAACUUGGCUCAGCAUCGACCCAUCAUUAGCAUGGAGGAUUUCAUGGCUCGGGUGGUCUGGCCAGGAGUCCAACCUUCUCCUUUGGGGGGAGGUGAGGCUCCUACAACCCAGGAGCCGCAGCCAGAGGCACAGCCCACGUCGGAGGUCACAUAGGAGGCUACACCAGAGGUCUCACCUGCUGCCACACCACUUGUGGAGGUCUCUUAGGAGGAGGAUGGUGCUGCAGACACCGAUUAUGCAGCUAAUAUGGUAGCAACAUAGAACACUUGGGAUCCCUGGCCCACAGCAGCACAGAAGACAUCUCAGUCAGCUCAGGAUGCUCCUUCCUCACCUUGGGAUGAUCAGAUACCGGUGCAGGAUGAGUGAUGACAGGACUAUCAUUUAUUUUCCUACUUUAGAUACAGUUUUAUGUUUUUAGUUUCAGUUUAUUUAGUUAGCAAAUUUCAAAUCUUCUUGAACAGUUUACAUUCAUUUAUGCAGUGGUUGUUUUGGUUUGGAAUUUCAGUGUUUGUGAAUGAUUUGAAAUUGAUCAAUGGCAUGAAUUAAGUGAAUUGUGAUGAUUAGAUCACGUGCUUUGAAUGAGUAUGCAAUAAUUAGAAGAGAAAGAACAUGAAUUAGGGAUGUGAGUGAAAAUGUUAGUUGGUUUGACAGGUAAAUUGUGAAGGUAAUCAUUAGCCAUAAACUGGUGAGUUGUGUGAACCUUAAUUGUGAGAGAAUGACUAGCAUUGAGUACCGAUUUUUGCAUGAAUCUCUGAAUACUGAAUGAAUGCAUGAAUUUGGAAAUGAUGAAGGUCAUGAUUGAUUGAAAUAGCCACUUAGCUAAAUAGUUUACCUUGUUCAUGAAUGAAUUAUCCUUUGCACCCACGUUGAGUUUAAACUUGAUUGAUUAAAUUGAACCCUGAGCCUGUUGAAGUGUAAUCUCCAUCUACCUUUUCUUAGGUUGUAGGAGAGCAUCAUGGUUCAAAGCAAAUUUGUCCCAAAUUUGGGGGAGGAUGUUGGGUGACAAUAAUUGUGGUAAGACAAAUAACAGCCACACAAAAAUAUCAGAAAGUAGUAAGUAAAAACUGCUAAAAUAAAAAAAAAAAGAAAAAGAAAAAAAGAAAAGAGAAAUUUCAAGAAUAAAAGUAUGUGUGUGUUGUUACUUAAGCUAAGUGCCUUAAAUGUUGAUUGGCAAGUCAGUAGAAGCUGGGAAUAAAAAGAAAAAGAGUUGAUCUAAGGAUGAAUGCUCUCCUAGAACCUAAGUUUUGCAUCCUAGAAAAACCAUGAGUUGUUUGCAGCCUAGCCUCAUUACAAGCCAAGAAAGUCCUUCAGAUUCAAUUUAUGUGUUUGUGAUUGUAUGGCAUGAGAUGAAAUGCAAAAGUUGAGACUUGUGUUGGUUGUUGACUGAAGAAUUGCCUUAAACACUUGUGCUUAUGAGUGAAAUAGUGACAAUGAGGAUUUGGCUUGAUGAACCUUCCUUGAUACCUAUCUUGCUUGCUAGAUUAUUUCACUUGUGUUGCUUAAUAACCAUGUUCAGAUCUUUGAAAUUCUGCAUAUCUUUAUGAGAAGUUGUUGGUUGAAAGCAAUGUUUGCCACUUGUGUUCAUAUGAUUGAAUGCUUUGGAACAAACACAAUUUUUAAUAACCACUGUGAUUUUGUCACUUGAGGACAAGUGAACUGUUCUUUCCUUGCUUGAGGAUAAGCAAAAUUGUAAAUUUGGGGGAGUUUGUUAGUUGUCAUUUAUGACUAACUUUUGUAUUGAAAAGCUUCAUGAAAUUUAUAUCUUUUCCCUAAUUUAUGGUUCUUUUUGUAGGUUUGUACAUAUUUUUUUUUGUUUAGUUUAAUUUUACUUAGUAGAUAUUCCCAAUAUUGUGAUUUAAUGUGGUUCAACUUCAGUUUCAGGCCAAAGGAUGAAGAAGAAGAAGGUUGAAGCAGCUAGUGUCUCGCUAAGCGAGGCAUAUGCACUUAGUGAGUAACAUCCGCUAAGCGAGGCACUCAGCUCGCUUAGCGAGUGGGAAAAAUCUAGAAGAGAAUCUUCAGCUCGCUCAACGAGUCAUUUGUCUCUUCUCUCACUCAGCGUGCCCAGCUCGCUAAGCAAAAAUCCACUAACUCGCGCUUAGCAGGAAAAUGGCGCUAAACGAGCCUUCAGGAUCAAAAAGCCCUUAAAAGACUAAAGUUGGCGAAAAAAUAAGGGGAGUUCAGUGAGUUUUUAUGAAGAGAGACAUAACAGAGCAAGAGAGAAAAGCUUGAACGAAAGGCCUCAACUAAAUUAUGUCUAGACACAGAGUGCAGGGAUUUAGUUUAUAAUAUGUUGUAAUCUUAAUGCAAUUCAUUUAGGCUAAGUUUGACGAGGAAUCUAGAAUGAAGCUUAAAUAGAAUUAGACUCAUUCACUAGAGGAAUCUUGGUUUGAGUAGUCAUUUUCGGCAUAGAAACACAUAAACAACCUUAAAUAGAGAAAAACACUUAAUUACAUCAUUUUGUUCAGUAGAAGGACCCAACGUUUUCAUCAUCUGUUUAUCUCUCACAUUUAGAUAGUUAAUUUUGUAGUUAAAUUAAAACUGUAGACACAACUUCUCUUUAUAUUUACUGGCUUUAUACAACUGCUUACCUACUGAAUGAAUGCUCCCUGAAUGAAACAAGUUCCAUGUGGACUCGACACUCGGUCUUACCGUUUUAUAUAUUACUUGUGCGACUCGGUGCACUUGCCGAUUAACAUUUCUAACCUGUGAAACAAGUAUUUUAGCGAGAAGCGAACACUGCUCUUGUUGUUGCUGAAGUUAGUAUGCCAACUGCUUUGGUUGGUUCUGUUAUGGCACCAUCGUCCACCGUCGCUACACCUUUGUUGAGUGUCGGUGUAGAGACCAUCAGUGCUCUUGUGGUGUCUCCUCCUUCCUCUUCGGCUCCAAUGGUCAUCCCUCCACUGCGUUGGCGGCGACAUCACCUUCUUCGUCUUCUUGUCCCCGUGUCUCCUUGGAUCAUUUGUACACCUUUAGUGAUACUGAUUCACUAUGGGGUACAAGUUACAAGCUGGAGCAGAAGACCCCAAUUGGCUUUGUUUUAGCCUUUGAUAAGAACCUUAUUAGGUCAGCUGGGGUGCAGAAUGCUACGCAUUUUGCCAAAGUUUUUCUUUAGAGAAGUUUGGCGAUUCUGGAGGAGAACGGAUAGUGGCACCAAGAGGCUUUGCAUAAGGUGGCAUCCUUGGAGGCAGAGGUCGCCAAAUGAAGGGCUACUGCUCGCACAGUUUGGAGAGUGGACCACCCUAAGGUGACUAAUGCCACCAUAGCCUUUGUUAAGGUCGUAAGGUCAAAUCGCCAACUGCCUUCCAAAGUUGGUGGUGUGUUGGCCAAGUUGCUACGCACCAAGUUGGAUGGUGAUGAAUUGUUCAAAUGCUACAAGGACUUGUAAGUGGAUAAAAGCUACCUAGCUAGCAAGAUGGAGGGCAUUGUGGCAGAGAGGGACGAGCUUGUGAAGGUGAAUGUUGAUUUAAAGGCUCGACUUAAGGAGUCAAAGUCUCGGUUAAAGGAGUACGAGCUGUGGGCUGCCUAGGAAAGGGAGGCCAGCAAGAAGCUUAAGGAGGAGUUGCUCGUUUACAAGAAGGAAGCCAUGGAGCAACAUGAAAAAGGAUUCAACAAGGCCGUCAGGCAGGCCGAGUUCUUUGCCAAGGACCUUGACUUGGGUCUCUUUGACCUUUAAAGGAUGUGAAGGACGAUGUCUUGCUUGACGAGGAAGAAAUUGUUGUGGACAAGGAGGCUAUUGAUGAAGAGCAGAGUGCUGAGGAGCAAGGCGAUGAUACUUGUGUCUAGGUUGCCUUUGCCUUUACCUUUCUUCUUUUCUUCAUUGUUAGAAUUUGAGUCAUAUAGGCCUUGUAACUAUGACAAUUAUUUUUAUUUUUCCUUAAUGCGUAUGUCUUCAAUGCACAUGCUUUCCUUCGAUGGUGAAUUUUUUCCUAUGUGUAUGUUAUGUAUGUUGCCUUUGUCUAUGCAACACUCUAUUACUUGUGGUAGUAUGGAUAGGCCGUCGUGAUGGUAAGUAUAGAAUCUUUGAUGGCAAAAGUAUUUACGCUGAAUACUUGUUCCACUGGUCAGUGAUGCUAAUCAGCAAGUGCACUGAGUCGCACAAGUAAUAUAAAAUGGUAAGACCGAGUAUCGUAUCCACAGGGAACUUGUUUCAUUCAGAGAUCAUUCAUUCAAUAGGUAAACAUUUGUAUAAAGCCAGUAAAUAUAGAAAGAAGUUGUGUCAAAAGUUCUAAUUUAGCUACAAAACUUACUAUCUAAAUAUGAGAGAUAAACAGAUGAUUAAAACGUUCGGUCUUUCUACUGAACAAAAUGAUGUUAUUAAGUGUUUUUCUCUAUUUAAGGUUGUUUCUGUGUUCUAUGCCAAAAACGACUAGUCAAACCAAGAUCCCUCUAGUAAAUGAGUCUAAUUCUAUUUAAGCUUCGUUCUAGAUUCCUCGUCGAACUUAGCUUAAACGAAUUGCAUUAAUAUUAUGACAUAUUAUAAACUAAAUCCCUGCACUCUGUGUCUAGACAUACAGUUCUCUAGCCUGCUCUAUCCAGUUCUAAGGAUUUAAAAUACUUUCCAAUGCUAAAAAUCUUAACUUUACACACAAAUGGGUGAUCAAGCCACAAGCAUGCAAGAAUUAAAUACAGAUAGAAGCAAUGAACACAUAAAAACAACUUUAAAUAGAUAGUGAAGAUUUUUACAUCAAAGCUCAGCAGAAAUCCCCAACAAGAGAUUUAGCAUUCCAUUACAAGUUAGCACCUUUCAGCACCAAGAUGAGGUUUUUGAAGGAAAAUUAAGAUUACAAAGUGGUGGGGAUGUCUCCUCCAUCUCUAAAAACCUAACAAUCACUCAUAAACCUAAAAUCCUCUUGAAAGCUGAGGCCUUUCGUUCAAGCUUUUCUCUCUUGCUCUGUUUUUCGGCUUUGUUACGUCUCUCUUCCAUAAGAACUCCCUAUUUUUUCUCCAACUUCAGUCUUUUAAAGGCUUUUUGAUCCUGAAGGCUCGCUUAGCGCCAUUUUCUCGCUAAGCGCGAGUUAGUGAAUUCUCACUUAGCGAGCUGGACGCACUGAGUGCGAGAAGAGACAGAUAACUCGUUGAGCGAGCUAAUGGUGCACUGGGCGCGUGCAUGAAUGGCAGAUUUUCUUCCAGAUUCUCCCCACUCGCUAAGCGAGCUAAGUGCCUCGCUUAGCAGAUGUUACUUGCUAAGCGCAUAUGCCUCGCUUAGCGAGACACCAACUGCUUCAACCUUCUUCUUCUUCAUCCUUUAGCCUGAAACUGAAGUAGAACCACAUUAAUUCACAAUAUUGGGAAUAUCUACUCAGUAAAAUUAAACUAAACAUAAAAAUAUGUACAAACCUACAAAAAGAACCAUAAAUUGGGGAAAAGAUAUAAAUUUUAUGAAACUUUUCAAUACAAAAGUUAGCCCUAAAUGACGACUAACAACAAGAAGCAAGACCUUGGCAAUGUAGAGGUAGGACUGUGGUGGUCUUGCAAAAAUUAGAUGACAAGAAAUCAUCUCAGGUUUGAUUUCAACCUGGUUAAAGGUCUUGUCACCCAUUUGGUAGGGCUUCCUUUUGCUUUGUGGAGCUUUUCCCCUGAUGUUUGUCAGAAGUAUGUUUGACUUGCUCCUGGUUGAAGGUUUUGCUAGCCAGUUUGGGGGUAGGUCGUGUAACCUGCGAAGCUUCUCCUUUAAUGGUUAUGAAGAGUAAGUAUGACUUCCACUUGAUUGAAGGUCUUUCAAAAUAGUCUAGUGGUAGUUCAUUUUGUUGAAUUUGGACCUUUGACGAUGGUCAUCGUAGUUGGUGCAAGUGAGCAGACCAAAGGGGUGCCUUGGGUUUUGUAGGAGUACUUACCAAGGGUGGACCUUGGGGUUUGGAGGAGUGUGUUCCAAGGGUAGACCUUGGGUUUUUGAUAUACUUGUAUUCCUGCACAGAUAAAAAUUAGUAAUAGAGAAGAUCAUUAAGGGUAAACCUUGCAUACCUUGAGUUCCUAUGGAGAUGGAACUUAGUAACAAAAAGGGCUCACCAAGCAUGAACCUUGGGUUUAUCGAGCCUUGGACCGGGGAUGUAUUUGCCCUAGGUUUUAUCAAGCUUGUGGAGCUGCGUCGAGGCUUACCAAGGAUGAGCCUUGGAUUUUGUGAAACUAUAAGAAUUACCAAGCAUGGAGCUUGGAUUUAACGAGUCUUAUGUGCAGCAAAAGUGUUGUGCACUUGCAUACAUGGCACUAGCCGUGGAUGGCAUGUACUAGAGAUGUAAUGGUGUGCUCUUGCAUACGUGCCUCUUACAAAGUGACAUGUAUUAGAGACAUGGUGGUGUAAAUUAGUAGGACCCACCAAGGGUGGACCUUGGGUUUUACGAUCCUUUUGGAGGAUUAACCAGGGGAUUGUCUGACUUGGGUUUUGGGCAUCAUGCUUUUGCAUGCAUGCCACUUGCCAUGGGUGGCAUAUACUAGAGUCAUAGUAUUGUGCUCGUGCGUACAUGUCGCUUGUCGUGGGUGACAUGUACUGGAGACGUAAUAGUGUGCUUGUACGUACAUGUCACUCACCGUGGGUGACAAGUACUCGAGACUUAGUAGUGUGCUCAUGUGUAUAUGUCACUCGCCGUGGGUGACACGUAUUGGAGACAUAGUAGUGUGUUCAUGCGUACAUGUCACUCGCCGUUGGAGGCAUGUACUAGAGAAAUAAUAGUGUGCUCGUGCGUACAUGUCACUCGUCGUGGGUGGCAUGUACUGGAGAUGUAGUAAUGUGUUUGUGCGUACAUGUCACUCGCCACGGGUGGCAUGUACUGGAGAUUUAAUGCUAGAGGGAGGGCUCACUAAGGGCAAUUCUUGGGUUUUAAGAUCCUUGGAGCUACGACUAUGGAUGCUCGUCUUGAUAAGGGAAAUGUGAGAAGGGGUGUAAAAUUUUUAUUCAAUGUAUUUGAUUAAGUACAAAUUACAUUAAUUAUCCUAGAUGUGCCUCGUUAAAACCUCUCAAGCCAAAACCCUGAUUUUUCUAUUUUUGGGACAAAAGACCUGAGUAGGAAAAAAGUACAACAUUGGGUUUGCAUUUAGGUCAACUGAAGUAAAACUUUAGGUGGGUGAAGUUCCACGUUCUUGGAAUUGCUUUGCCAUCUAGGUCUUGUAGUCUAUAUGCUCCGUUGCCAAGGUUGGUUGUGACCCUGAAUGCUCGUUCCCAGCUGGGGCCAAGCUUUCCCGCUUGGGAAUCUUUUCUGGCUUCACCUUGGACUCAUCAUACAAUGUCACCAGGUUGAAAGGCUCGUGGUUGAACCUUUGCAUUGUAUCUCCUUGCUGCUCGGAGCUUGGCAGCUUCUUCCCUGAUCCUCGCCAUAUCUUGGACUUCGUCUGUGGUUUCGAGUUCUACCUUCAUAUUUUCUUCAUUUUGCUGUUGAUGGAACAACAAUCUCCUUAUUGACAGUUCCCUGACUUCAACAAGGAUCAUGGCGUUUGUGCCAUAUGUGAGUCGGUAAAGAUUUUCAUUGGUUGCUAUCUGGGGUGAACAGUGGUACGCCCAGAGUAUGCUGGAGAGCUCCUUUUUCCAUAGACCCUUAGACUUGUUGAGUCUAGUACGUAGCACCCUAAGAAUGACUCUAUCAAUUGCCUCUACCUGACUAUUGGUCUGAGGAUGUUCGACAAAGGUGACUAGGUGCUUUAUGCCUAGCCUUGUCAAGAAGUCUUUGUAAGUCUGAGCUUUGAAUUGAGUGUUGUUGUCUGUGAUAGUGGCAUAUGAGAGGUCGUACCUACAGAUAAGGUGUUUCCAGGUGAAUUUCUCCACCUCGUUGGCCGUAAUUUCCCACAGUGGUUUUGCUUUUAUCCAAUUGGUGAAGUAGUCGAUAACAACUAGCAAGUAUUUGACUACUCCUGGGGCCUUUGGCAGUGAUCCCAAUAUGUUCAUUCCCCAGGUGGCGAAGGGCCAAGGGGAGCUUAGAUUGUGGAGAUUGUUAGGAGGGGUGCAUGGCAGAUCUAUACCUCCUAGUAAAGUUGAUGGUGUCUGCCCUGAGUGUUGGCCAAUAGUAGUCGGCUCGCACCACUUUGGUCGCAAGGGAGCAUCCUCCGUUGUGGAGACCACAUAUCCUUUCAUGAAGUUCUCUCAUGACGUAGUUUUCCUGUUAGGUGUUUAGGCAUUUGAGUAGGGGUGUUGUCAACCCUUUUAUGAAUAGCUUGCCAUCAAGGAUAACGUUGUAGUUGGCCUUUCAUUUGAGGCGUCAGGCUUCGUCCUCAUUUGGUGGUAGUUCCCCUCGAAUUAGGAAGUUCUUGUAGGGGGUCAUCCAUUCUGGUUCCUCUUCUUCUCUAGCCAUAACUUCCUCAACAUCUAUGGUGGGAGUUUAGAGGGUUUCCCAGAUGAUAGUCUUGAGGUGCCCGACCUUUUUGGUGCUGGCCAGCUUGGAGGGUCUCCCUGGGUAUGUAGUACAUUUUGAAACAUUCAAAAUUUUCAAUGAAAGUCUUCAUGAUGUGAUAGUACUUGAGCAACAUUGUUUCCUUAGUUUGGUAUCUCUUAGCAACUUGUCCUUGGACAAGCUGCAAGUUUGUGUAGCAUCGUAACCUCUUGGCUCCGACUUCUCUUGAUGGCUUCAAACUUGCAAUGAGCACCUCAUACUCUACCUAGUUGUUUGAGGCUUUGAAAUUGAGCUUGAGGGCUUGCUCUAGAGUGACAUUGUUAGGGCGUUCGAGGAUGAUUCCUGCCCCGUUUCCUUUUACGUUGGACACACCAUCAAUGUAAAGGUUCCACUAGUCUGGGAUGGUUGUGUCGUUUCCAGUGAAUUCUGUUAGAAAGUCAGUCAUGAAUUAUGUCUUUAUGAGGCUGCGAGGUUUGUAGUCGAUGUAAAACUCUGAAAGUUUGACGAAUCAGGCCACCAUCCUUCAUGAGAGUUCAAGCUUUAGCAAAACUUGCUUAAUGGGGUAGUUCGUUUUGACGACCACUUGAUGACUCUAGAAGUAGGGCCUGAGUCGUCGGGCCAAGGUAAUGAGUGCUAGCGCUACCUUUUCUAUCAUUUGGUAGCUCUUUUUAGCGUCAUGAAGUGUGCAACUGGUGAAAUAAAAAGGGAGUUGGUGUUUCCCUUCCUCUUGUACGAGCAUUGAGCUAAUGGCUUUGUCAGCUACUGAGAGAUACAAAAGUAGGGGUACUUUUGGCCUGGGUCAACUCUAAACUAGUGGUGUGGCUAUGCUCUUCUUGAAAGCUAGGAAAGUUUGUUCGCAAGUCUCAUCCCAUAGGAAGGGCUCAGGAUUUUUGAGCAAUUUGUAAAAUGGCUUUGCCUUUUCAGCAAGCCUCGGGAGGAACCUAGACAUGGAUGCUAGCCUACCAUUCAAUUUCUGAACUUCAUAGAUGUUAGUUGGGCUGCACAUCUCUAGUAUGGUAAUGCAUUUUUUAGGGUUGGCUUCAAUUCCCCGGUGAGUGAUCAUGAAGCCAAGGAACUUUCCUCCGCCUACCUCGAUAGUAUAUUUUUUGGGGUUGAGGCGCAUGUCAUAUUUACAGAGUUCCCCAAAGACUUCUUCCAGGUCUGUCAUGUGUUGAGCUAUGCUUUGAGACUUGACGUCCAUGUCAUCCACAUAUAUCUCGAUGUUUCAUCCGAUCCACUAUUUAAAGACUCGGUCCAUCAGUCGUUGGCAUGUAAUGCCUGUGUUUUUUAGGGCGAAGGGCAUGACCCUGUAGCAAAAGUUGGCAUCUUCUGUGAUAAAUGUCAUUUUCUCUUCGUUUGGAGCAUGCAUCCUGAUCUAGUUGUAUCUUGAGUAAGUAUCCAAGAAGCUUAGAACCUAAAACACGGAGGCUCCAUCGACUAGCCUGUCGAUAUUGGGCAAAGGGUAUGCAUCUUUGGGGCACGCCCUGUUUAGAUCAGUGUAGUUGGUGUACAUUUGUCAUUUGUCGUUGGUCUUUUUGACCAUGACGACGUUGGCGAGCCAAGUGGAGCACCUAACUUCUCUAAUGAAGUUAGCGUUGGGGAGUUUGUCGACUUCUUCUUUGAUAGCUUUGCAUCGUUCUUCACCCAUCUUUCUUUUCUUUUGUGAUAUUGGUUUGGCUUGGGGAUAGAUGGAAAGUUUGUGGAAGAUGAUGUUGGGAUGGAUUCUCGGCAUCUCAGAUGGGUGCCAAGAAAACAAAUCAAAAUUUUUGUGUAACACAUCAGCGAUGCACCGGUGCUCAUGGCUGGUGAGGUCCCUACUCAGCUGCAUACACUACCCAGGUUUAGGUCCGAGCUGCAGCUUGAUGAGCUCUUUGAUGGGUUUUGGGCCUUUGUGUCACACGGAUCUAUGUCGAAUUUCUAGGCUUGCUUGGUAGACGGUCAGGGCUCGGAUUGGAGACCCUUUAUUCACGCUCAUGACUUGAGUGCCUUCAGCUAUUGUGGGGUGAGGAUAUGGUGCUACCUUCAAGCUUUUUGCAUAGCAUUGUUGUGCUUGCUUUUGUUCUGCCAUGACGGUUAUUAUCUCCCUGGUUAGGGUAUGGAAUUUCAUUUUCAAAUGGGGCAUGGAGAUUAUGGCUCUAAGCUCAUUAAGUGUCUUCUUGCCGAUUAAAGCAAAAUAUAAUGUAUCUGCAUCAACAAGUAGAUAUCUUAUGGUGAAUCUCCUAGAAAGCUUGCCUUGAUCGAAGGUGGUCAUUAAGUCAGUAUAGCCUCUGGUCUCUACUCUUUCCCCUGUAAAGCUGAGGAGUGGACCAGCGUGAGGGUGGACAGUGUCGGGGGAGACCUCGAGUGUCUGGAAAGUUUUUAAAUACAAGAUAUCAGUGGAACUGCCCUGGUCGAUGAGGACCUUAGACACCAUGAAGUUUGCAAUGAUGAUGGAGACAACCAUGGGAUCGUCCUGGUUGACGAGGUUGAUACCCUUGAAUUCCCUAUCUGUGAAGGUGGUAGGAAGGAGACUUCGUUGUGAUGGUGCAUCGACAAAAUUGAUGUCGAUGUUUCGAAUGGCGUGAAGAUGGCAUUUUCGGGAUUGUUCGCGGCCAGCAAGUGUACCGGAUCACACAAGUAGUAUAAAAUGGUAAGAACCAAGUAUCGAACUCUCGGGGAACUUGUGUUAUCUGGAAAGCUAUUUCGGUAAAUAGGUGUCUGGUAUGAAAAGAUGAUUGUGGUUAUGAACAGGUAUGUAAACUAUCUAUGCAAAAAGAAAGAAAAUCACGUAAGAGAAAUGUUGUAUAAAAACAAGUAGAGAACAGGUUGGUCUUCCUAAUAGGUUCCUGAUGCUAGAACGAAUGUUCUCUAUCUAACAAUGCCCAUGUAUUCCUAUGUUGUCUCCUGGAUUGUUAGACCCCGAUUCCUCAUGAUAGCCUAGCCUAAUCCAGAUCAAGCCUCGUCCGCAGAUUCUUCUUGUAAGACUAAACUCAACCAGGACCGCAUUAAGACACACAUACACAACUAAGUUCUUGUACCCCGAUUCCUCGUGACAGCACAACAACUUAGCCCCAUACUAUCAAGGACUUUAGAAUCAGACUAGUUUCCACUGUUGAAUGACCCUAACAAAGCAUGCAUCUACGUGAUCAAGGUAAAGGCAUACUAGAAUGAAAAGCAGAUAGCACAGAGAACACACAAAACAUCAUUACAGAGAUAGAAAUAUAUUUACAUCAGGUACCUACAGGGAAGAUCCAAUAGAGGAUUUAGCUUUCCAUGGUUCGGAAACCUCCUUUACAACACAGAGAAGAACAAGAUGAAAGAUAGCAAAAAUACAAGUGGUGAGGAUGUCUCCUUCACCUCUAGGAUCUCACAAUCACUCACAAACUUAUCUCAAGUUCUCAGAACGACUUCCGCUUCGAGCUCUCGUCUCUGCAGAUCUUCACACAGCAAAAUCUCUCAGAACUCUUUGGAACUUGGACCUUUCUCUCUCUAGAACUUCCUAAACAUGCAAAGCUUCAAGCCAAGGUUAGACUCUCGUGCAUGUAGAGGCUUUUUCAAGAAAAAUGCCAAACUCCCUCAAAAAAUCUGAUUUCAAGUUUAAAUAGGUGGGUUGGUCCCUACUCGCACGCUUAGCGUAAAUCUGAAUCGCUUAGCACGCAUAAGUGGAUUGUGGCUUACCACGCUUCUCUCACUUAGCGGAUGAGCUGAAGUGGUGCGCUUGAUGACCUGGAGUGGUGCCCUCAGCGAACCUGACAGAUCAUCUUCUUCUAGAUUCUUCCUCGUGCUUAGCCAUUGAGUGUCACGCUUAGCGAAUGCUCGCUAAGCCAGCAGAUUGGCUUAGCGAGAAGGUGAAAACAACAUUUUUACCAAUUUGCCUAAUUAACCUGAAAUUAAGAGAAAUUGAUUAUUAAACACACAAAACAAAAGUAUAAAUUAUCUAUUAUCUAUAUUUAACAUAAAGUACUUAUAAUAUUAUAAAACAACUAUAAAUUGGAGAAGUUUGAUACAAUAUACACAAGUUUUAUACACAAAAGUUAGUCGUUUUCACAGACUAACAGGGACUAGUUGGACUAUCCUCAAUAGGAAAAUCCGCCCGCAAUGGUGUUGAUUCACCCCUAAUUUGUUAGGCGGAUUCCUGUUCUUGUGGAGGUUGUCGUUCACACCGUUGUUGUUGGUGUCUCUGUCUUCCUCGGUCUUCCGCUCUAUCUCUUCUUCUAUUUGCAUUGUGAAUCCUUUAUUGCUCCUCUGGGUCUUGUUCCAACUUGGUAGUUGUCUGGCCUAUUGACAAACUGGGCUAGGUACCCAACUUGUAUAAGCUUUUCUAUCUUGUCCUUAAGGGGCCAACAAUCUUCUGUGUUAUGACCAAUACCGUGAUGAUACCUGCAGUAUUUGGUUACGUCUAACCCCGACCUAGGAGGUUUCGUUGGGGGUAGCCUGAUGGGAACCUUUAAGUUGAAAGCUUCCUCUAGAAUUGUAGUGUGAUUAACCGUUAGGGGUGUGUAACGCUCAUACCUGGACCCUUUUGGGAAAGGUUGAUGCUUGUCUGACUUGUGUAAGUCGGUCUUGGUACUUCUUUCUCACUUGUCGAGCUUCUGUAUGACUUGUUUGACUUCAUUCUUGAAUUUGGACAUUUUUCCAUCUGGAUGUAGCCUUUGGCUUACUCGCGCAACUCGUCCAUGCUAUCAUGGAUUUUUUUUUUGCACAGAUUGUCCGCAAAAUUGUUGGGGUGUAGGGCGAGGAGCAUGGAAUGCAACGCUACCUUAGGGUUAAGAUUUUGGAUUUGGACGAUUGUGCGCCCAAAUCUAUCCAUGAAUUUUCUGAGAGACUCGUCAUUUGCUUGUCACAGACUGGCUAAGGCAGUCGAGGUCAUACAGUGAGAUCUACCGGUUACAUACUGCACACUGAAGUGUUCAAUGAGGGUGUCGAAGCUGUCUAUAGACCUAGGUGGUAGUUCGUUGUACUAGGUCAAUGUCGCCCCCUUAAGGGACAUUAGGAAGACAUGACAUAGAAUCACAUGUCAUCAUUAGUGUAUAGGUUCGCCCGAGUCAGGAAGGCAUUUAGGUGCUCAUCUGGGUUUAUGGUCCCAUCAUACCACUCGAGGUUGAGUGGUUUCCACCCCAAGGGUAUGUCAGCCUCCAUGAUGCAGUCAACAAAGGGAUGUUGACGAGUAGUCCGCCCUACUGGACAAUGCAUGUGGGAGAGACUUAAGUCAUCUACAGUGUUGACUGUGCGUCGGGGGUGUGAUUCCCCUUGGAUGUGCUCAAGCAAUGUGUGAGCGAAGUGCUCAUUGCCUUGGGGACGUCUGAUACGAGCCUCCAGCUGAUCAUGGUCAGCCUUUAGCUUUCUCAGCUCCUCCUCAUAGCAUUGCUCCUUCUCCGUAAUUCGGUUUUGAAGUUGCUAUAGAGAAUUUGUGUCUGUCAUAACUGCCGAAUGAGGAUGAAAGUCUUCGAAAGGAGUCUUGCGUCUAAGGCUAGACCAAGUGCUAACCAUGGGUGAAAAAGGAGAGAGUUGAUGAGAGAUCGCGGGGUAUAUUUUACCAUGUCCCCACGGUGGGUGAUAAAUGUACUUACCAAAAUCCGAAGCUAGGACACAUCAGGCUAGACGUGGCCAAUGUAGGCUCUUGAACUUCACACGUCGACUUAGAGAGGCACCUUUGUUAAGAGGACAAGAGGGGGGACCUGCAAAACAAAGGACUCUGAUGCUCAAGUAAGUAUAUGAGUUAGGAGAUAAAGCAAGUGUAUGCUUAAAUGUAGGCUCGAGUGAGCAAUAGAGAGAGAUAAGCAUAGGCUUGUUGCUUGUGUGCUGGUGUGUGUGGCAUGUGUUGAGGGUUCAGUGGAACCUAGUAUUUAUAAGAGUGGAGCAUAUUUGUGGAUUCUUGUUGGUAGGGGCUGUUAUAGCCUUUGCAGAUAAUUCUUGACUUAUAGAUAAUAGCUGAUAGCUUGUAGAUAAUGUUAGAGAUAAGCUGUAGUUUAUAGAUAAAAGCUAGAAAAUAACUGUACUUUGUAGAUAAUGUGUGGCUUUGUAGAUAAUUAAAUACCUGCCAGUAGAUAAAGAUACUCAAUUAUAUUCAAAUAUUAAUAGGUUAGAGAUAACCUGUUAGUCAGGGAGCCUAACUGCUAAGGGCCGAGUGUUCAUGCUCCUGUUGCAGGGCUGACGUGGAGGGUUGACACGUGUCUUAGAGUGUCAUGUAAGGUGUCAAUUAUAUUUUGUGGACCCUGGACAGUAAAUGUGAUUUCAUAUUAUUAAUUGAUUCAAUUGUUGUUGUGGUGCGAUUUUAAGAAUUAUUAUUGGAUGCAUGAAAUUAGGGAGUUUGUUGGUAGUUUUUUUAAUGGUAUUCUUAUAAUUUUGUAAGUUGAUCAUCACCUUCUGGGAAAGGAUGAUGAUAUACAUUUUAUUAUGAGAUUAUAAUGUUAUAUACCUCCAUCUGGGAUGAGAAUAAUAUUUAUUUAUAGAUACUCCCAUCUAAGAUGGGGGAGAGAUUCUAGAUACCUUCAUCUAUGAUAGGGAAGACUAUGAGACACCAUUACAUGAAAUAUGAGCUCAUAAACUUUUUGAAGAAUCUGAAAUCUACACUGAUUUUGGAAACCAAAAAAUUGAGUCUUGUGAUUCUGGGAAUCACUAAAUUAUGUCUGUUAUAUUUAUUUGAAUACACUGAGGUAUUGUUGUUUAUUUAAAUAUUUUAUUUAUUCAGAAUGUCAUGAAUUGUAAGUGUUUUAAUCUUAUUUUUAUUAGAGUAUACACACACACACAAAAUCUUAUUUUAAAUUCAUUAUGGAUACCAUGACUGAUUUUCGGAUUACAACGCCAGUUGAGAACAACAUUAUUUACAAAACUCUAAGUUUGUUUUAUUCACUAGGAUUAUCAUCUCAUUAAAAGUGUUGUUUUCAAAGCACAAGGAAGAAGUUUUUGGAAUUGAGGAGGCUUGAAAACUUAGUUACCUUUAAAUACAUUUUUAGCUUUGUUAGUACUCAGAAUAAUAUGUCGAAUGUGACUGAUUACGUUAUACUUUUAGUGUCGGUUAUUUUUAGAUACCUAUAUUUGAGAGUAAUAUUUUUACUUAUGUAAAGACUUAUUUAUUUGACUUUAUUUAUUAUACAUGAGGUAUUUUCGGACUAAUAUAAUUUUGAGAUUUUAUAUUCUUUUUAGUAUGAGUUGUUAUUUUAAUAAAGGCGUUAUGGUGGUUGUAGUAAUAGUGGUGAUUGUGGUGAUGAUAAAUUAAAUCUUUAAAAUAUUUAAUUUUCUAUUUGAUAAAUCUUAUAGAGAUUUUAUAAUUAAACGAGAAUUUAAUUUGAAUUUAAAAUAUUUUAAUCUUGACCUUACAUUUUAAUAUAAUGGAUGAGAAUGAUCAUUCUCAUUCUCACAUAAGAAGAUCAUUCUCACCUAAAACGUCCUUCGAUCUUUCUUUAUGUAUAUGAAACGUCUUCCUUUUUCUUUCUAUAUAAAGGGGAUUAACAACCAACACCAUAAAUAUUUGUAAAAAAAAAAACCCAUUGAAUUCCUUUGUCAUUAACUUUAAUGUAAGGAUAUUAUAAUAAUUUAUGUUUUAAUUUUAAUGUUUACGAGAGAGAAAAAAUGAUUGAUAAUUUAAUGCUUAGAGAAAAUUGUCUAAAAAUUAAUGUGGACAAAGAUGAGAGAAGAAAGAUAAAUAAUUAUUUUAAAAUUGAAUCAUAAAUUAAUAUAAUAUCCUUAAAUUAACUUAUUAUACAAAGGAAUUUAUUGAUUUUUUUUACAAAUAUUUAUGGUAUUCCUUAUAAAUACUUAAGUAUAAAAGUUAUAAUUUUUAUUUUAUAUCGAAUAAUGUGGAUUAACUAUUGACUUAUUAAGUUGAUUCCUGUCCUAAUAUUACGAUCGAAUAGAUUAUCAAUUCGAAUUCGAAUCUAAUAACAGUGCUCAAUAGCAACUUCAUCUAAUAUCUACAUGACAUGCCGCAUCAUUAAAAUUGAAAAUUUGAUCGGAUAUUUGAUCAAAAACAGAUCCAUACAAGUGAUAUCUUUUGAAAGAGAUCCAUUUUGGUAAAUAUUUAGAGAGGUAAAGGUCGAAGUAAAGGUAGAAGUAAAGAGACCCAUGUAAAAACUGACCCAAAUUGGUCAAAUAGCCGUUGUAAGUUAUAACCACGUGGAGUGGAGCAGCGACUGGUAAAGGUAGAAGUAACCAUAGCGAACGUCGUUUUAUUUCUUAUUCCCCACGUUUCAAAAAAACCGUGAAAUUUUCUUAAUCUGUUGGCCUUCUUCCACGAUUCCUCUGACCUUUCUUCUUCACUUUUAAUUUCUGGUCUUCGGUGAUACCCAAUCUAUCUUCCGUUCAAAUCCCAAACCCCCUUCGCAUCCAAUGCCCUAGUUUCGCUCCAUUCUCUCCGGUUCCUCCCCACGAUGUCCAGCGACACCUCCUUCGCGGACCGCAAGCUCUGCGGUUUCCUCUGUACGGUUCUCACACUCACUCCCCGCGACGACUCAGACACCACCGACAUACCCUUCCCCGAGCCAUGCGAAAUCUUCGGCGAAGGGGGCGAGGUCGGCUUCCGGACCCCGAACGGCGUCGUUCUGGGCCCGGUGCUCGAUUCGUUGCAAUGCGGCGGUGGCGGCGGUGGCGGCUCCAACAAGAUCAAGAGAAGGAACAAGAUUGGAAUGGUGAACGGGAGCGUGAGCGUGGUUCACCAGCUCCACGCCAUGGUCACUCGCAAGUGCGCCAGAAUCGACGCUCGCGUGGUGUGCGUUGAAGCGCUUCCUAGGGUUGUGGUGCUGGUUGACGUGUAUGUCCCCGUUCAGGUAUGGAGUGGCUGGCAGUUUCCGAGAUCGGGACCCGUCGCUGGCGCCGUUUUUCGCCAUUUGAGGUUAGCUUCUUCUUUCUCGCCUUCGAAUUCUUUGUAUUUAUGUUUAGGGAUUUAGUUACUAAUAACAUUGCAAUGUGUAGAGAAAGAUCACAUGAACGAUUUUGGUGAAUUCUGCAUAAGUAAUAGUUUGCCAUACUGUAGUUGUUUGAGGUUUUAAUUUUUAAACUGUGGUUGAGUGGUAUUUAUUGGUGUAUGUUUUGAUUAAAGUUUGAAAUCAUAGUGUAGCGUGGUUUUACAGUUUGAGCAAAGUUUUUGAAAUUCUGCACUACUUAGUCCUUUGACAGUUAGUCAGUUACCAUGCUAAAUUUGGCAUUUUUUAAAAAAAAAAUAAAAUUAAGGAAAUAAAUAACUAGUUUAGCUAGAUGUCAUGGUUUUAAUUGAAGGACUACAAGUACAUACUACUAGAGAUGGUGUAACUGUUUCAUGUGAUGUUGUCUGCGAUUUGAAUCUUUGGUUAUCUUAUUGCUUGUUUGGUCACGUGUGUUGGUGUGUAUUUAUGUGUAAAUCGAGAAGCUGUGAAUUGUAGCUUUCAUGUUAUUCUACAAUUUGACAUGAGAUUUUACAUGUAUAACAUAAAUCUGAACAGACUAUAAAUACACUAUAAUUAUUUAGUGGUGUGGAUGAGAUGGAAGAUAGUUGUAACCUAUGUAACUGAUGUAAUGUUCUUGCAAGGGUAGUUGCCGGAUUCUUUUAGCUACUCUGCAUACUAGAGAGUAGAGACUAUUGCCUUGCAAACACGGUAACUUUGUGGUCACAUGUUUCAUUCCUGAUGGGUUAUAUGAAUAUCAUGACAAUUAUUGAUGCAUUGUGUUGAUUUGCAAAAACAUUGUUUUUUCUCUUUUGUACAAGAUGAGAGAAAACUCAACAUUUCUUUCUCUUUCCAUUUCUAUUUUUAAAGGGGGGGGGGGGGGGGGGGGGGGGGGGGUUAAAAUGCAUCUCAGAUCAUAAGAUCCUUCCUAAAAUGCAAAUACAUAACUCAUAAUAAAGAUUAAAAUUCAAUACAUAACACUCAACUCAAAAUAGGUUCAUAAGUCAUAACAUAACUCAUAGUAAGUUCAUAUUACUUAAUACAUGCACACUAAACUAGGAGAUCAUUCAAAUUAAAAUCAGGAAAGUCAUCUGUCAUCCUCCAGAUGAUCUUCGUCCUCUUUAAUGGCAUUUCCUCUACCUUCAUCAUCAUCAUCAACAAUUGGAGGAACCUCCAAAUCAUCUACUGGUGCACCACCACCUACUAGCUUCUUCUCCUGCUUCAACUAAGAUAGCUUCAUCUAAAGCAUCCAAUUCUAAAUUUGCUUCGUUCUCCACCACAACCCAUUCUUCAUCAGAAGCUUUGGGGGAAAGUUUCAAAAGAAUUUAUAUGAUACAUUGGUAAAAUAUGCAUUCUUAGCUAGUUUCGUAUUACACUACAAAUUGAUCAUUUUAUCAAACCUAAUACCAUCUCUAACAUGAUCAUACAAGAUCACUCACUGGUUUUAUUCUCGGAAUUCUGUAAACAAUAAAUUAAAUUGUCUGCCUUCAUUUUCCUGUGUGAAUAUACUUAACGGAUGUCUUUGGCUGUCUUAGUUAGCUAAUAGCUAAAUGUUUAUGCAGCUGUGAUUGGAAUGAGAGACGUUCAAUGCUUUCAUAUCCAGACUAUUGUAGGAAGACUUAUGGAGCAAAUGAGAGCAUUUGGAACCUUUCUGAUUGUCAUGUACUUGGUUGCAAGCUCCAUUCCGGUGUGAGCAAUUCUUCAAGGAAAAUACUAUUUCAACUUCAUGAAAUUUUUAAGGCACUACCUGGUGUAGGAAAGCGGCAGACAUUUAAUAGUUCCAAGAUAAUACCUAUGGAUAACAUUUGCAGAUCAGGCAUUUGGGAGUUAUCUGAUGAUAUUUUAACUAAGAUUUUAGCUUCCCUGGGCCCAAUGGACCUCACUAGGGUUUCUGCAACAUGUCAUCAUUUAAGAUCCUUGGCUGCUUCGGUAAUGCCUUAUACCAAGUUAAAUCUGUUUCCUCAUCAGAGGACAGCAGUUGAGUGGAUGUUGCAUCGUGAGCGAAAUGCUGAGCUUUUGCCACAUCCGUUAUUUGUAGCUCUCUCAACUGAAGAUGGCUUUAGUUUCCAUGUAAAUACUGUAACUGGUGAUAUUGUUACUGGGGAAGCUCCCACCGUCAAGGAUUUUCGUGGAGGAAUGUUUUGUGACGAGCCUGGCUUGGGUAAGACUGUAACAGCUCUCUCUCUUAUUAUGAAGACGCGAGGUACAUUGGCAGACCCGCCAGAUGGGGCACAAGUAGUCUGGUGUCAACAUAAUGGUAAUCAGAAAUGUGGAUAUUACGAGGUCAGUGUUAGUGGUAAUCACAUCACUGGUUGUACUACCUUGGGUAAGAGGGAUGUGUGCCAAGAUACCAGCAGAACUAAUGAUAACCAUGAUUACUCCUCCAAAAGAGCCAGAUUGAUAGAUCCUGAUCAGCAAAUAACUAAACUUCAUGAUUCAUGUUCCAGGGAAGAAAACAAAUCACCUGUUGAUGCAUGUUUCAAGGAAUCUAUGCAUUCAAAUCAGUUCACUGGGAGUUUGAGUCGCAUAAAGAAAAAUCUACAUUUCACAUUUGAAGAUGAAGCUAUGAUUUCCAAGGAAAGAGAAAUUGGUGAAGGAUUAAUUAAAGCAAAGCAUGCAUUAGAUGUUACAUCUCAUGUAUCUCAAAACAAGUCGCCUGGGAAGCCUAAAGGUGACUGUUUUGAGUACAAUGAUACAUGGAUUCAGUGUGAUGCUUGUCACAAGUGGCGAAAGCUUGUAGACAAUAGUAUGGCUAAUUCUAGUGCAGCAUGGUUUUGUAGUAUGAACACUGACCCUCUGUAUCAAAGUUGUAGUGUCCCUGAACAACAUUUUCAUAAUAUCUGUAAGAUAACACACUUGCCAGGGUUUCAUUUGAAAGGAACUUGUGGAGGUGAGAAACAAAAUGUUUCUUUUUUCACUAGCGUGCUUAAGGAGCACUACUCCUUGAUAAAUUCUCAGACAAAGAAGGCCCUGACGUGGUUGGCUAAAAUUUCAACAGACAAGCUUGCAGGAAUGGAAACAAAUGGCAUCAGGGGUCCUAUUUUAAACAUUUGUACUGCAUCUAAUAGACAUUUCCACAAAAUAUUUCAAGCAUUUGGCCUCUUAAAGAGAGUAGAGAAAGGUGUUUGCAAGUGGUACUACCCUCAACAUCUUAACAAUUUGACUUUUGAUGUGGCUGCCCUUGGCAUGGCUCUCCGUGAACCAUUAGAUUUUGUUAGGUUAUACUUGUCAAGAGCUACCCUGGUAGUUGUUCCAGCAAACUUGGUUGAUCAUUGGAAAACGCAAAUAGAAAAGCAUGUGAGGCCUGGUCAAUUGCGGGUUUAUGUUUGGACUGAUCAUCAAAAGCCAUCUGUGCAUUGUCUUGCAUGGGAUUAUGAUGUUGUCAUAACUACUUUUAGUCGUUUGAGUGCAGAGUGGGGCCCACGUAAGAGGAGUGCUUUGAUUCAAGUGCAUUGGUUUAGGAUAAUUUUAGAUGAAGGGCACACUCUUGGGUCAAGCCUGAACUUAACAAACAAGUUGCAAAUGGCUAUUUCAUUGAUAGCUUCAAAUCGAUGGAUACUAACAGGAACUCCAACGCCUAACACUCCUAACAGCCAACUUCCUCAUCUACAACCAUUGCUAAGGUUCCUUCAUGAAGAAUCUUAUGGACUGAAUCAAAAGUCAUGGGAAGCUGGUGUGCUUAGGCCAUUUGAAGCAGAGAUGGAGGAAGGGAGGUCUCGUCUGUUACAUUUACUUCAAAAAUGCAUGAUUAGUGCUAGAAAGAUAGAUUUACAAAGCAUUCCACCAUGCACGAAGAAAGUUGUUUAUCUAGAUUUUAAUGAGGAGCAUGCUAGGAGUUACAAUGAAUUGGUAAUCACUGUACGACGUAAUAUAUUGAUGGCUGAUUGGAAUGAUCCUUCACAUAUUGAGAGUCUACUGAAUCCAAAACAGUGGAAAUUUCGUAGUGCAACUUUAAAAAAUGUGAGGCUUUCAUGCUGUGUUGCUGGACAUAUUAAAGUUACACAUGCUGGAGAAGAUAUUCAAGAAACAAUGGAUAUGUUAGUACAAAGUGGUCUGGACCCUACUUCAGGAGAGUAUACCUCCGUAAGAUAUAAUCUCUUGUAUGGUGGUCACUGUGUCAGGUAGUACCUAGGUUUUAUUCUUUCUUGUGGCUUUAUUUUUCUUCUGGUUGUUGCUGUUUAUUAAUUUUUUUCUUAAUAAAUUGUGAAGGUGCAAGGAAUGGUGUCGCCUUCCACUCAUUACCCCAUGUCGGCAUCUGUUGUGCCUUGAUUGUGUUUCUAUAGACAAUACCAAGUGUACUUAUCCUGGCUGCAGUAAAUUGUAUGAGAUGCAGAGUAGAGAGGCCCGACCUGAAAAUCCUAAACCGAAGUGGCCUGUACCCAAAGAUCUUAUUGAGCUACAACCUUCAUAUAAGCAGGCAUGGUUAAUGGAGAACUCAGUUAACAUUCAUCUUUUUUUCCCUCUUUCUGGUUUGCAAUGCUAACAUGCAAUGUUGAUUAUUUAAUACCCAGGAUAAUUGGGAUCCUGAUUGGCAAUCUACAUCUAGUAGUAAAGUCUCCUAUCUCGUCCAGAGGUUGAAAGCUUUGCGAGGAACCAAUGAAGAGACAUACUUCAAUACAGAAAAUAGCAAUGAUGAUUUGCAUAUUGAGAAUAGUUUGCAUAGAAGUGAUGACAAAUCAUCAAUUCAGACAUGUUCUAUGAGCAGCACUAAGACCAAUUUGAACCCUGAGAAAGUUCUGAUAUUUUCUCAAUUUCUUGAGCAUAUACAUGCCAUUGAACAGCAGGUACAGUUUUAUGCCGCAUUUUGUGUGUGAUCUUUCAUGAAUUGUUCUAUUUUAUUUUUUGGCAUCUGUGAAUUCUUUUGCAAAUGAUCAAACUAUUAAAUUGGAUUUCUCUUUGGCAGUUGACUAUUGCUGGUAUCAAAUAUACUGGAAUGUAUAGCCCAAUGCAUUCCAGCAACAAGGUAUAAUGCUGGAAUUUUCUUUUACUGUUUCUUAAAAUUAAAAUUUACUUUUGGUUUCUGACCGUUGGUUAAUUUGCCUUUUCCUUUUCCAGAAGAAGUCAUUAGCCAUGUUCCAGCAUGAUUCAAAUUGUAUGGCACUUCUGAUGGAUGGAAGUGCUGCAUUGGGUCUUGACUUGAGUUUUGUUACGCAUGUAUUUCUAAUGGAGCCAAUUUGGGACCGAAGGUUAAUAUAUCAAACUAAUAUAAUUUGCAAACAAGAAUAUAAAAUUAAUUUUUUAUUGCUUUUAAGACUGAGGGAUAAAAUGAUUUUGAGAAAUUUUAAAAUUCUACAUUAUUUAAUUUUCUUCUCAAGUUGAGCAUAGUAAAAUUUUCUGUGAACUUUCUGUGUGGCUAAUAUGCAUUGUCAAUACUGAACUUUUCUGUUUUGGGAUUUAGCAUGCAAACUGGAACCAUGCUGCAUAAAGUGACUGGCAGUGUAUCUCUUGGUUUCCCAAUUUGCUGGAUCCUUCUACUUCAACCGAAAUUGGCAUGUUUAUCCAGUUUAAUUAUUUUCUAACUUGACCAAAAUGUUUUCAGUAUGGAGGAGCAAGUAAUUAGUCGUGCUCAUCGUAUGGGUGCUUCUCGUCCUAUUUAUGUGGAAACAUUAGCAAUGCGUGGUACAAUUGAAGAGCAAAUGCUAGACUUUUUACAGGUAAAUCUCUAUAAAUUGAACUAUCUUACACCUAUUUGAGUGUACUACUAACAAUGAUGGGUCUCUUUGAAGGCCUUGUUAGUUUAUGUUGUCGUUCAUGUAUGUCACUGAAAAUUGUCUCCUCAAUGUCUUUUGUUUUGUUUAGCUUUUAUAUUGUUGUUGUUGUUCAUCUUUCAAUUUGUUGAUGGUUUAAGCAGGAUGCUGAUAACUUUAGAAGAUCACCAAUUAAGGAUGCUACCGAAUCUGUUGAUGAUAGUGGGGGACGAGGAUAUAGAUCAUUGCAUGAUUUUGCUGAGAGUAGUUAUCUACUGAAACUUAGAUCUGUGUAUACUAAUUUGGAAAGUCCAAAAGGUUUGUACAUACAGUUUUUCCUUAACUGUUUUUUGUUAGCAAACAUAGAUUCAACAGAAAGAUGAGUGAUAUUGCAUUUGAGAAAUUGAAUGCGAGUAGUUUUUAUGACUUCUAUUCCUUAACUGUUUAUUUGAAAUUUUUGCCUGAAACAAAAAGUAAAAAGGUUAUGGUUAUGUUUUCGCCUAAACUGACUAAUAAGAUGCUUUAAAGUUUAUAAGCCACCAGCUAAAAGUUUAUAAGCUUGCAUAUUAAAUUAUAAGUGUUUUGUAAAAUUAUUGGAAUAGUUGGUAAAUGUAAAAUAACAUAAACAUAUUGUAUAACUGUUUUAUGUGAAUUCUAUUUUUGUUUUGUAGUCAAAAACAUUUAAUUAAAAGCUAAUUAAAUAGUUCUGUUAAAGUAAAUACUAAAAUAUUAUAUGAAAUAAAUAACCCAAAAAUUAAUAAAAAGAGAAAAGUAAUUAAAAAAUAGUUACAUAUGAACAAUGUUGAAGAACAGAUCGAGGGUAAAGGUAUAUUAAAAUAGUAAGGAUAUAAAGGAAGGAAAAAAUAAACUACAUGCUUAUAAAUUAUAAGCUACCUGAAGUAGCUAUAAGUUAGUGAAAUAUACUUGUUUACCAAAUACCUUAAUUUGGUCAAACAAAGCUUACAAUGUAGUCAACUAAGUUACAAGUUUGCUUAUUGGACAUGCCAAACACACUAGAUGUUUGGAAGUGAUAAAGCUGUUGAAAUCCUACUAUGAUUUUCUUUUCGAGUGAAAGAAUCAAGUGAUACUUGCAUUGCUCAAAAGUCACAAGUUAUUGUCAAUUCACUUGGUGAAUUUUGGUUAAAUGAAAUAUUGUACUCCCUUCGUCCCUAAAUAUUAGACUCUUUUAAAUGAUUCACACCCUUUAAGAAAGUUAGUUAAUAUAUUUAAUAGUAUUAAAAUUGUUAACAAUUUGUUUUAUUUUGCCAAAGUUACCCUUAAAAUUAUUGGGACUCAUAUCUUUCCUUUCACUUAAUUACUUCCCCACUUAAUUAAUUAAUGUGUGUUAAUCUUAUCUAAUCCUUAUAAGAGAAAUAAUGAUUUAUCUUUUUAGUACAUAACAUUUAUUGUAAAGUAAUUAAGAGUAUUUGGAUCAAAAUAUAAUUAAUGCAAAAGACAACUUGAAACAAACAUAAUUGAAAAAAGACUCUUAUAUUUAGGGACGAAGGAAGUAUGUCCGAGCACUUUAAGCCUGUUGAAACUGAUGGCAUGCUCUGACCCCUCUGAAUAGGACACCCUCUCCUCUCAACUUUCCCUUACCAAAUUGUAUGUUUUUUGAAAAUGAAUUUAGGAUAUGCACUUGCACUUGAAUGAAUUCUUUUACUUUUCUUUAUUAACUUGUUAAUUUAUUUAUUUUUUUAGAAUAUAAUUAGAAUGUAUUGAGUUACACUGUCUUCCAAUAUGAAUAGUCAUAUAGGUGAAAGUUGUUGACUUUUAAAAGUCUAUCUAGAAUGAUUUCUAAUUAGUUGAUAAUGUAAAAAUCUUUAUACUAUCACUAUCUUAAUUAAACUCUUGUGAUAAUGACUUUUUUAUCCGUUUUUACUUCAGGUGUUUGAUUGAUCAACAUCAAGCAAGUACUGACUAAUUUACUUGGAGCAAGUCCUGUGUACAUUUUGCAAGUUUGCAUGCUCUUGAAUAUGGUUUUACUUUUUGAGUAUAUAGUCUUACAAGUGCUCAUCUAAUGAAAGAUGCUUCCAUAUGCAUUGGAGAGUGGAAACUAUUCUUUUUGUGCAGAUUAUGGAGCUAUUUGCAGCGUCGCUUCUGUUUGCCAGUGAUUAAUGAAAUACCGGAAGUGUCCCUGCUUAUUCUUAUGUAAAGGAUUUAGUCUAGUUGAUUUGAUGUGAUCUAGUAGGCAAUUUGGAGUCAAGUAUUCGAAUUGAAAUAAAAUGUUGAGUUAUUGGAAAACAAGUGUUCUCCCACACCCUUUCUCUUAACAGUAGGUAAUAUUGAAAAAUCAUAAUAACCCUUGCCCCCUAAAAUUGGUGAUAUCAUGUAUGUUCUUAUGACUAUCGAUUUCAUUAUAUGCAGCUAAUAUUGUAAUUAUUAGCAAUGAUCCCAGUGCUUAUUAGUCAACAGAAAUUUCAAGAUAUAUUAGCAAUUUGAGGGAGAAAAGGUUUCUGUUCAAUUUAUUCUCAUGUUAGCCUGGGUUUUUAAUUGAUUAUUAUGCUUUGUAGGUUUGUUCAUUUAGUCAUUUGAUUUUGUUGGUCAUUCGGAACGACCACCUGGAUAGUGUAGAAGUUCAAUUAGUUAUACAAUAGGAUAUAAUAUAUAUGGAUGGAGAGAUAAUGAUAAAGAUAGAUGGAUGAAUGGAUAGAGGUAAAGACAGAUGGAUAAUCUUGGAUUAAAUUUAAUUUUGGUUACGUAUGAGUAGAAACUCCCAAAUUCUAUAAUUGUAUUCACUCACAAGUUCUACUCCCAAAUUCAAUAUUCACUCACAAGACACAAGUUGAUUAUUAUGGGACAACAUAAGGGGAUAGGAUUACCUCCUAGGGGAGGAAAGAAAUUAAAAGUUAAUUUUCAAAAUAGUAACCAACCUCCCCGUAUCAAUGUGUUUUUUCACGUUAAAAAGGAAAAAUAAAUAUCACCAAUCAUGCUAUAGGCCUCAAUUUAGCCCAAAAUAUGCAGACAAGUCUAAAAUCCAUAAUUAACUAAUAAAAAUGGUCCUAAUGUAUUCCAAGCUUGAAAUCAAGAAUCGACCAAUCAAAAUAUUCUUAAAUAAUUACAGGUUCAAUUUAGGACUUAAUGACAAUACAAAAUCCAUACUUAAGCUCAAAAUAUUUGAUUUAAUCUUUCAAUCAAGUCCAUAACGACUCAUGGAUAGCUAACACCAAAUUGGAUGAAUUUCGACAAUUAGGUUUUUCAUAACUUCUCUAACUCUCUUGACGCUUUUGUCAUUAGAUACAAACCACAAAUGGUUCAAUUGUAAUUUGUCUUUGGUAUAUUGAUAGGUUCAAUAUUAUUUUUUUCCGUUCUUUCACUCCAAAGAUUGAAGGAAAAAGAAACUUUAUGUUAAAAAAAUGUAACUUAAAAUUAUAUUUUCUUUUCAUCCUUUGGUCUCUUCUGCUUCUAAUAUUAUCCAGAAAUAAUGAAUUGAGUUCAUAUAAACAUUUUGGAUGCUGCCAUUGAAAUAGUGGUUCUUGCUAUAUUUCACAGGGCCUCACCCAUUUUAUAAAGUAUUUUUUUCCAUGUUUAAUGAUAGUUAAAAAAUAUUCGAUAGUAGUAGUAGUAGUAAAUUUGCUAUAAUUUUGACAAAAAAAUGAGUAUUUUAUUAAACUCACUACAAAUUUCAUAGAAAAAUUUAUUUUUUUCUGCACAAUUUCUUACAAAAUUUGUUUUGUAUUAUAAACUUACAUAUUUUUUCUCAAAAAAAUUACAAUAAAUUUUCCAUUUUUUAAAAUCAGUACCUUAUAAUUUAUUUUUUUAAAAAAAUACCUUUAAGAGUGCUACUAAAUUUCCUUAAAUUCACUAAGAAAUCAUAAAAAAAAUAGUUUUUUCUGCAAAGUUUUUUUUACGAAAUUUUUUUUGUAUAAAAAAAAUUCUUUUAGAUUUUCCAAAAAAAAAUUACAAAUAAAUUUUCCAUUUUUUAUAUAUUCGGUACCAAAUAAAUUGUAAGAAAAACCUUAGGAGUGCUAUGAAAAUAAAGUAAGGAAAAUAUAUUUUAAUAUUAUAAAAGUCAAUUAAUUAAAAAAAUAGUUAAUAUUUGAAUAGUAUCGCUAAAUGCUUAAAAUUAACUAUAACAAAUGAUAUUAUAUAAAUCAUUAUUUUAAUUUGUAGAUUAUAGAUUAUUUUAGCCGUUUCAAUUUGGUUUUUCUCUGCCACUUCCAAAUAUAAUUGAAUUUUCAAAAGUAUAAUUUACUUAUAUAUAUUUUUAUUUGAAUAAAUUUUGGAAGAAGAGAGCUAGGUUAAGAUUAAUGUCUGUCCUUACUUAAAUCCUUUCUAAAAAAGGAACAAUUUAUGAGUGAAAAUUAAUAAGCUUAAACAUUUUAGUCUCAAGAUUGUCUCUAAAUAAAAAUAAAGCAUUUCUAAUUUAAUUGAAUGCAUGUACAUAAGUGAAAGCUACCACACGUAGUUUUGGAUUACAAGGUGUUUAUAGUCCGACAGUUUCUAUGUGAUACAUAAUUGAGUUUUUCAAUUUACUAAAAAAAUUAAUAAUAUUCCCUUAUGUGUCAUAUUAACAUAGAUUGAAAUCAUAGUGGUCCCUAAUCAUAUGCAGAUAAGGCCUCUUGAUGCCAAGACCUUUAAGUAGCUGCCUAUCAUUUUGGAAGCAUGUGUAGUAGGAGGUAUUUCUUAGAAUUUGACAUCGAUGUUUUAAGAGAAUCAGAUGAGUCAUCAAACUGAUAAAGAUAAUGGAUUAAUAGGUCACUAAUCAGAUCAAAAUUUCAUUAAUCAAACUGGUUUAACUUGAUAUAUAUUAAAAAAAUUAUAAAAAAUAUAAUUAAUUAAUUUUAUUUAAUCAUUCAAUACUCUAAAUUUAAAAUGAUUGUCGUUAUAAAAUACCUAAUAUAUCAAAUAGUCAUCAAUAUUCAUGUCAAUGCAACUUUAUAAAUAAGUUUCAAAUACAAACAAACAUUCAAUGUGUUAAAAAUAAAAUUAAGUUUACAAAAAAUUUAUAUAUAUAUAUAUAUAUAUAUAUAUAUAUAUAUAAAAUAACACUUGAUUCAAUCAAAGACUCAAUGGAUUUAACCUGGACUACACCAAUUCUAAUAUAUUUACGAUCCCGACCGGUGUGUUUAUUGGAUUCCGAUUGAAUUCUGUCCAAUCCGAUUCUUAAAGCAAUGCGUGACAUGCGUCCAAGUUAACCUAUUUUGGUCGAUGGUGGAGGGGAGCGAAUCUUCCGCUCAAUAAUGCAUUUACUUGACCAAUAGUGUUAGUAAUGCAUGCUUGAUUUCUUUAUGCAAGAUUUUGAUUCUGGGCUUUGUGUAUAACAAUAAUUUCUAAUAGAACAUUUAAUCCCAUUAUAUUCUGAAAUUUACACAAAAGCUGAGUUCUAAGAUGGGUUCUGCAAUUCACAUACAUUGUUGCUGAAAUCCAGCAUCAGUACUUCAAAUUCCACUUGUCAUGCUUGAUUACGACGAACGAAUGCCGACACUACGCUGGCUUUGGACCAUAAAUUUAAGUAAAUAAUUAAAACCAGCGUUUUUAAGUUACACACUCAUCAUAUAAUGUGGUCUUUAACAUCUUGAUUGUGACACUACACAUGCUAUAAUUUGCAUGUAUAGUGAUGCAAUUUGACCGUAGAAGUAAUUUUAACGUUACUAUUAAAUCCUUUUUUCAACUUGCCAAGGCUUGUGGGGUUGUCGCAUUUAAUAUAAACAUGUCUUGAAGUUUCUCACAAGAUAAGGAGUGUCCCCUCUCAUUGAAAUUUAUAUCGAACUUUUGACUUUUCAAUAGAAAAGCAUGAAAUUUAUUGAAUUUGAAAUUUAAAAAAUGUUUUUUUUAACCGAGAGACAUUGAAAUAUUUUAUUUGUCACUCAACUAAUUUUCUUUUAUCAUAUGGUCCCAUUUUAAGAUAAAAUAAUAUCUUUAAUUAUAACUUAAUUCUCAAGUUAGAGAUCAAACAUUAUACCUUAAUUAGUUAAAAAUCCAACUGUGUGAAAUCACUUCUAUCAACAACGAAUUUUGGCCCAUCUUGUGCUAACAACUAAGUUGUUAUUAAUUACUAUACAGAUUGCGUCUAGGUUCUUCAUUUACAAUACCAUGGGACCUAGGAGUCUCAAUCCCUUUUGAAUAAUCCACACCAAACUUUGGCAUAUAAUACAAUGACAAAGCAAGUCAUUAAUGACCUAGAUUGAGACCUAGCACCUACACCGAGCCCUUACUAGUAUAAAAACCGAACACUAAGUGUGAGUUAUGCACACCAACACCAAAACAAACCCACUAAGAUGGCUUCCUUUGUAUCCUUCCUAGUGCUGCUUCUUGCAGCCCUUAUCCUCAUGCCUCAAGGGCUUGCUACUUACUACAAACCAAUUAAGAAGCCACCAGUGUACAAGCCUCCAGUGUACAAGCCACCAGUGUACAAACCACCGGUUUAUAAGCCAAAACCACCGGUUUACAAGCCGAAACCACCGGUUUACAAGCCACCAUAUAAGAAGCCACCAUACAAGAAACCACCUUAUGGAAAGUACCCUCCAGUAGAGGACAACACCCAUGCCUAAAGCAAGCAAUGAGGUCUAUUAUCUACUUAAUAAAUAAGAGGAACUGCUUUGUGUUUUCUAGCAUUGUGACUUACAACUUCGUAGCAAUGCAUAUUCUUGACUCUUGCAUGCACUUCAAUCCUUCGUAGCAUUAAUGAUGUGGCCAAGUCAUCAUGAGCAUCAUACUUAUUUCUUUGUGAAUGUAAAUCAAAAUUAUAAGAGAGAAAAUGGUGCUUUUGUACUACAGAUUACUAUAAAUAAAAAACUUUUAUGGUUUUCAGAUUGUGCUGGUUGAUUGAUUUGCUCUACCAUUAAUUAUGACGAAACGUAGUUUUUUUUUUUCUCUUUUUUAAUCCGUAAAAAUAAAAAAAAUAAAAAAAUAAAUUUAUAAUAAUUCACACUUUAUUUAAUUAAUCGAAAUAAAUUCCAUAAUAGAUGAUACAUAGUUUGACAUACUAUUGUUAAGCUUAAGAUUAAAGAUCGACCCUAUGUUGCAACUAAACUUUCUACAAUCAAUUUUAUAAAUUGGAUUGGUGCAUGUAAGUCUAGCUAGCUAGAGGCAGAAGAACAGUACUAGAGUAGUAGAUGGAAGCCACUCUCCACGCACCUCAAAUAACUCGCAAUUAAACUUGAGCAUAACAUCAAUAGCGACUUAAGUUAAUUUCAAUUAUGGGCUCUAUUUGAACAAAUUUCUCUAUAAAUAUUUCCAGAAGAAAAUAUUAAGAAAACAAUAAAUUGAACUUCUCAUUUAAGUUAAAAUAAACAUAUUUGUAUAUUUUUUAUAUAAAAACUCUCAUUUAACUUCUCUUAAAAAUAUUGAAGUAUAUAAAUUAAUUUUAGCUUAUGAAAAAAAAAAUCAACUUAUUUUAAUUUUCUAUUCUUAAAAAGCCAUAGUUAUAGUUAAUGUGUACAAAGACCAGUUCCUACGAGAGUUGCUGUAUCCUCCUAAACCAAAUAUCCGAAUACUCCUACUCAGUAAGAAUAUUUUGAUAUCUGUUAAUAAUUUUAUAAUAAAUUAUUUAUUUAAUUUGACAUUUUAAUAUUUAAUUUCUUUCCAAGUUUACCCCUUUUCCAUAUGACCAGUCAACUUAUCCUCUUCAUUCGACUUUAAAAAGAGUGGGUGGUGGUGCGGUGAAGCUGAAAACCACACACAAUGAUGGUGGUGGAGAAUGUGAAAAUGGUUGUGGUCGGAGAAGGAGGUACAAGGGACAAAGUUAACUGAGGAAAAAAAAAACUCAGCGUGAGAGAGGGUCUUUUGAAAAAAAGGACAAAUUUGGAAAGGAGAAAAAAAGUUAAAAAGUGUGUUAACAAGUGUGAAUGCUUAGGUGAUUCAGUUACUUUUUCGCCACAUAUGAUCGGAGGAAUAAACAUUUCUCUUUUUCAUAUUACUAUUUUUGUAUGUUUGUCUACACGUACAUGUGGACGGUUAUUUGUAUCAAGUAUCAACUACAUAUGGGUGUCAAAAUUUAAAACUGAACCGAAUUUAAUGAAUUGAUUCAACAACUCUAAUAUAUAUGUGAUGUGAUUUGAAUUUUAAUAAUUUGCGUACGAUUUUAAUUUAAUUUUGAACCUACUUCAGUACAAAAAUUUACGUAUAAUCUUACUACAAGUACUUAAGUCACCACAAUCAUCUACACUCACAUCUUGAAAAAGUGACAUUGAUAGCAAAUUCAUGAAGUACUCACAGCUAACGUCAUUUGAUGGUUGAAUGAACCCCUCAGCUACCCAUAGCUGAAUGAGUGUUCUCUUAUCAAACUCAAAACCUUUUGGAAACAAUGAACAAUAAGCAAAACAGUUUUCCAAAAAUGAAGGAAGAUGGUCAAAACUCAGUUUAAGGAUUGCAAAGAUUUUGUCCUUCUCUUGAUCUAUCUUUGAAAACCCAACUUCCUUAGAGGCUAUUACUAUGCGCACCCAGCAUAAUUACUGGUACAUCCAGCAUAACAGCAUAAUUCCCGUUUUGUCCUUUCCUAAAAUUGAUACAAAUUGUCAAUUCAUAUAAGAUUUACGGAUUGUCCAAUCUGUAAGUAGCCCAAAUAUUUUUUUAAUUUUUUUUUUAAAAAAAUAUGUUUUAUGAAUUAAUUUAAAAUUAAUGAUUCAUGCAAGAAUCAAACUUAUAACUUUCACGUUAUUAACACGACAUUCUAACCAAUCUCAAUAUUCUUGUCAACCCUUUUAAGUUAUUUUCUUUAUGUUAGUUUUUAACCGAUGUUGAAAGUGCCGAUGUUGAAUGUAUUAUCGUUAACAUCGGUUUUAAAAAAACUGAUGUUAACGUUAAUUUUACAACAUCGUUUAUUUAAAUAACCAAUGUUGAUAAUAAGAAUUACACCCAAAAAAAUGUAUUAAUGUUGAUAGUUAACAUCGGUUUUUUGGAAAAAUCGAUGUUAACGUAACUUAACAUCGGUUUUUUUAUAUAAAAUUGAUGUUAACGUAUGUGUUAAUGUUGACAGUUAACAUCGGUUUUUUGGAAAAACCAAUGUUAACGUAACUUAACAUCGGUUUUUUUACAGAAAACCGAUGUUAACGUAUGUGUUAAUGUUGACAGUUAACAUCGAUUUUCUGUAAAAAAAAAGAAAACCGAUUUUAACGUACGUUAACAUCAGUUUUUUCCAAAAACCCGAUGUUAACGUAUGUGUUAAUGUUGACAAUUAACAUCGGUUUUUCCAAAUAAUCGAUGUUGUUUUCAGGAUUUUUUUUUAAAUAUUCUCUCUGUUUUUACAAAAAAAACCAAAAUUUAACCUGUAAAUUUAAAAUUAGACCACACAGCAUAUAUGAUUUGCAUUUUGCUUUCAAAUAGGUUUUAGCAGAAAACUAGCUAGUAAACUAUUAAAAUGAAACAUCAAUUGUAAAAAAUGUAAUGCAAAGUACGGUAAACUAAUUAAGUAACCUAAAGUUACAUAGUUCCCUAACAUCCUAUGUUUGAUUUCUAACUUUUAGAUAAUAUUGUGCCCACUGCAUGUGAAGCGCCUUGAAUCUCUCUGCUUCCAAUGAUCUAACAUCAUUAAAAUACUGGAUGAUCAAAUAAAAGAUAAAUUAAUGAUGUAAUAACAAUGAUAAGAAAAUCAACUUUGUUUGAAAUAAACAAUUACCGUUUCUCAAUUAUUCCUGAAAGUUCCUGAGAUUAUCGUGGACAUCUAGUGCAUGACGUAAUAGCUGUACUCAGUGUUUCGUUUUUGUCUAUUACACUAAAUACAUAAUGAAAUUUGGAUAUUAAUUAAGCGUUAACUACAAUUAGUGUACACACACAUAAGCAGUAUAUAUAAUUAGAAGUUUAAUUUAAAUCACGUACCUUAACAACAAUCCACCUAGCCGCAGCCUUGGAUUUAGGUUGUGGAGUAUCAUCAAGUCCUUUCAAAGCACUAUUGAAUACGAGGAACAUUAAAAUAUUGAUGUUGUUGAGUUAUGCUAAUGCAAAUAUAUUGAAAACAACAUUGACCUGUUAAUUAUUCCCUUAAGGUAGUUGUCUGGCCUGUUAUGUAAAGAACAAAACCAGACAACUAGGUUUUCCUUAGGCAAAAUGACGACCAUUUGCCAGUGUCCGCUGCAGUGGAGACGAAUAUGGGCUAUUGUAAUAGUAUAGAUUAUUUAAAUUCAGUUGUUGUGUUUGACUUACCAAUUCAGGUAAGCUCCAAGGUAAACAUCGCGUUUUGAACCCUGCAUCCAACUCUUGAUGUAACUUUUCGAUUCAAAUUGUGAUUGCCCAAAUCUCUGAAUGGACUGUGGCUCGAGAAAUCCAUACACAUCGGAAUUCCCCGCUCACAUACUUGUCUCAGUCAGAUGCCUGUGUUGUUAAGACAAAGUUAAUUAUGUAUGAAUUUAAAACAAUUACUUUGUUAAUUAACAGUAAUCUAAAUUGACUUACAAAAUUCACAACUGUAUAACAGAGAUGCUGAGACAUUGACCACCGUGUGCUAUUUCAUACAGAUCUUCAUGCUUUAUGUACAAGGGAAAGUCUGAAUUAAACAGCCCGAACAGGGAAGCAUCCCACAUAACCUUGAGAGGCUUCAAAAACAAUUGUGGGAUGGUCAAUGUCAUCAGAUGCAGAGGAUCAUCGACCUCACGAUCCGGGCUUUUUGGAGGUUUUGCUAGAGACACAACUGCCUGUUAAUCAAACAUAGUUAAUUAACAAGUUUUGAUUACAGUGAACAAAUCAAUUGAAAAAAAGAAACAUAUAAUCAGAGUAAAAUACCUGUUCUGAUAAACGUUUCACGAGAUGUAUCGGCCAAGCAAGGAAGGUGUUAAGUGUCUGCCCCACUAAGGUAACCUUGUCAAUGGGUACAGGAACGGGAGUCUCUGCAUCUUUAACCUCCUCAACACCAACCUUCACUUGGCCAUGCAACAAAGGGAUGUUAUGAACCACUGUGGAUCCCUCAUAAAGUCUUCCUAGGGCAACCAAGUAGGAAGGAUUUUCUUCAAUUUACAGCCCGCAUUUGUCUGAGUCAUCCGUCUCUGGAUCGUUCCCUGAGGAAUCAACACAACUCUUCUUUGUGCUGACACGAGCACUUGAGGGACCAACCUUUGGCUCCGGAGGCAGUGUAAAUCCCUGUGAUUGCAUCUGAGACUGAAACUGGGACUGCAUUUGGCUGAAGGAUGCCAUCACCUGCUGAGUAACUUUUUCUGUGAUCGACUCCUCCAGCUAGUCCCUGAUUUGUUGGGUUAACUGUUGUAGGUCUUCAGGAGGCAUAGAGGAAGAACUACGGGACAUUCGUGUAGCCAAUCCGAAAUAUUGCUUUAUGGUCACAUCAGCUCCAGCAGCACGGACACGGCCAGGGUGCUCUGAUCGCCCAAUGACAACAGUCAGGACAUCCUGACGUCUAUGGGGGACGAACGAUCCCUGUGACGCCUGCUCCUCCAAAGAAUCCUGUACAUAACACAUAUAUCUGUCCAAGGCAUUCACAAAAUACACAAAGAUAAUUACAAUUCUUAAUUGAAAAUGACUUACAAUCUUCUCAGUUAUUUCCUUUGUUGCCUCAGACGUCAUCGGCCCAGUUUUCUUUGUGUAGACCAUUUUUCACUUCAUGUGGCGUCUGAUGGGAGAUGGAGGGUCAAUGACGCCCUCAGUGCUUUCGGAUUGGGCAGCUUCCUCCAGUCUUUUCUUUGUCUUCUCAGCCAUAAGCUUUUGUUCUAAAUAUUCAUAACCCCCACGAAACAACACGUGGGGGGCAGUGUUUUGCUUCUGGAUGACUUGUGUUUUUUUCCGCACAUCCUGCAAAAAUCGAACAUUAAUGAAAAUGAUUACUACAAUGAAUUAUAAGAAGUUAUUUUUUUUGUGGAAAACAACUAAAAUGACAAACUACAUACCUCCCACGAGGGGUCUCUGCGGGUCUGACAAAACUUGGCCCAUUUCUCCUUGCUAAUGUCGCAUUUUUCACAGACAGUGUCGUCCACACCGUCCUUGUCGGCUGCAAGUGCCCAUUUCCUGGUCAAGUCAGAUUUAAACUGCCUCCACGGCUUGUCGACAGUCUGAAGAAUUUUCUUCUUUGUCCUACUGUUAGAAGCUUCAGGGAUUUCAGAUGUUAAGAUCAAGUAGUUAACAUCGGUUUUGACAUCGGUUUUGAAAAAACCGAUGUUAACUAACUCGACUUAUUUACAAAAAUGUCAUCGUGCUUUUCUUAACAUUGGUUUUUUAAAAAAUCGAUGUUAAUCGUGCGAUGUUAAAUCUAUAUUUUGUAGUAGUGUUUAGGUAUCUCAUAAAUUAGUCAAUUUUAUUUUGAGUUCUUAAAUUUUUUUCUUUUUAUUUGAUCCUUGAUAUUUUAUUUUUGAGUUCAUGCCGUUAAAAAUUUUAAAAUGCAAUUUUUUACUACUAAAAAUAAUAACAAUGUAAAUUUAUUUAAAAUAUUAAAUUACCAUUUAUGGCAAUUCAAUUGGAAAAAAUGAAGUAGAUAUGAUCAAAUAAAACCUUACAGACAAGACGAAGUCUAAGGUGGUCAAGUGAGUUAGGUGAUUUCUGGUGGUCAAAUAAUUUUUUGCCAAUAGAUUUAUUAAUAAAAUAUUAAACCAUUCAGAUGAAAUCUUUUUGUCAGUUUUUAACAAUUAAAAUUAUUUCCUCCCUUGUCUGUCGUGCACCACCAUUGGCAACACGUCACUACCUUGCUUUACUUUCCACUCUUCUUCUUUCCCUCUAUUUCCCUUCGUACUUUGACACCUCCGUAACCUCACUGUCAUGUUGUUGAAUUCACAUCCUUGAUUUUAAUUAUGACAAACCAUUAGCAAAACAAAUUGAAAGGAUGAUGGGUUUAAGUGAUGGCUAACAUUUCUCCCAAGCGUUUUAGUGUUUAUUCCUUAAGAAGCAUAAGUGUUCUUUCAUUCUGAUGUACUUAGAAUGAUGCUUAGAAAGGUUCGAAGAAUUGUUGUGAGAGUUGAAAACUUAGAAGAAUCCUUAAAGCCCAUCAAAAUGAUGAAAUUUGCUUCCCUUUGAAUACUUAGUUCUUGGCAAGAUACUGAACAACCUUACAUAAAAGAUUCAUCAAAAGAUUCAUCAAAGGCUACCAGAAGAACAUCUUGGUUUAGAAUGAAGUUAUGCAGAGUCUACAUAGAAUGACAAACACCUUGACUCUGAGUUUCUAAACAUCAGAAUGAUUCAGAAAGACUCAUAAUGCAUCACUUAAACAAUAUUAGAAGAUUAAAGUUUCACAUUUCUUCACUUUGCAUAUGCCACCACAAUCACUGUAGGCACGUUAGAAAGUAAGAAUUGACUGCAUAAAAAGAUGUAAAAUUGUUGAAUGAUGAAGUUGUCCAUGAGAAGCAUUAAUGUAAACCAUCAGAUUGAAGGACUAAAGAAAACUACUCAGCCUGACCAUAGACAAAACACUAACACACCAACAACUCAAUUUCUACUAAGUCUUUCUAAAGUAAAUCAACUUAAGAAUGUUUCAAAGUUGUGAACAAGUGUUAAGAGUGAUGAAGUUGUACGACUUCGGAUUGAAAUUUCUAUCUAAACUUCGUCAAAGGAAUUCAUUAAGCAUGGACUCAUUCUUUACAAACAUCAUAAUGACUAUUGUGAUGGUUCUUCAGAAUCCGCAUAAAAAAAGUUCCUCAGAAUGGUAAUCUCCAAAUGGUUUUGUCUACUGUCACUUCAUGAUAGUUAUAAGGUGAACCUACUUGCUCCAGAAAUGUUUCAGUUGUGUGGAGCCCACUACAAUGAUUUUCUUGGGAGCUUUAUAAGGAAUUUUAGAAGGCUAUGAAGAACAAGUUGAAGCAUUCCAAAUUUGUAUCACAUUGUGCAAGUCCUUUGAGUAAGAAAUUUGUGUUUUAGCUUCAACCCUCUCUGUUAGAGUGACCCACUUUUGUAUUGUGCUUUCAAAGCUUGUAAUAACCUUAGAUAGAAAUGAGAGAUUAAGUUCUUGAGUGGAAUCCCUCAUGUGAGGUGAAAAUCUUUAGCAUGUGUCGUAAAACCAUAGAUAUUUUUUUUUUAUGUAAAGUCCAAUAGUGACUAGCAAAGGUGAAAUCCAGUGGUGCAGCUGGUCUAGUAGAAGAUUGAAGUCUAGUAAGGAAUUGACAAGGUUGUGAAACCCAAUGGUUGUUGGUCCAGUUGUGAAUUGGUUGUGUUACUGAAAUAACAUCUUUAAGGGUGAGGAUUGGACGUAGCCCAAGGUUGGGGUGAACCAGUAUAAAAACCUUUGUGCACUUUCUUCUCUUUCUCUAUAUUUUGUUCUUGCACAAAUCUAAAACUACUUUUGUAUAAAAUACUAAAUUUGUUAACUUUUUAUCUUAACAACUAAACUAAGUUUUGUUUUAUCAAGAGGUAUUAGUAAAGAACUAUCUUUAAAACAAAAGUCUUAAAACUGCAAAAGAACUAUUUUUUUGAAUGGUUUGCAUUUUCAUUCUGAGUUGCUUGAAUUUCCAUUCUAAGCUCAUAACAGUUUUUAUAUUCUGAACUACCAUAAAAAAAACCUUUUUGUUUUCAAAGGAAGAUUAAAAGUUUUCAAAACCCCAAUUAAACCCCCAUUUUUGGUAUUUUUCUCACUUCAAUUAGCAUCAAAGUUUAAAUGAGUUAUUCACGAGCCCUUAAUGUCAAGCUUUCAAAGCUUGAGUUUGACUCAUUUAAAUAAUCAAGCUUAAUCUCAAGCUUAAAUUUGUUUGUUUAAUUAAACAAAUGAACUUAAAUGAUUAAUUAACAAGUUGAACUUGAAUAGUUCACAAAUAGUUUGUCUUAUUCACAUCCCUAACUCUUCAUUUUUUUAUCCAUAGGAAUUGAAUAAGAUAUAAAAAAAUUUAGAACACUCAGACACCCUGCUUAAUCAACUAAGUUAGACACCUUUAGUCCCUAACUCUUCAUAUGGUUAUAAUCAUAUUCUAGUAACAAUAUGUUUCAUUUCACUACCUUACUAAAUUACAGGACUGACUUCAUUAUUUUGCAACACCCUUUACAUCACAUCAUUCAUUCAUAAAAUUUGCAUUAGUUAAAUAAAAUUAUUCAUCAUCAACAACUAUGUAAUGUAUACCACCAUGCAAUCAAAGGAUAAGCAAUUAAGAAAAUAUUUAAGCUUAUAUAAUCCAAGUAGCAUGAUUGCCUUAAUUGGUACAUAAUGCAAGGCAUAAAAACCAAAAAGUGGCAGUAUGUGUAAUAACAAAAUGAAACAAAGGAAGGAGAAAAAAUUAUUUGUGUGUUACAAAUAAAGAGGAGGAAGAAGGAAUAAUUUAAAAAUAACUCCAUAUAUUAUUUGUUCUAUUAUUUUAUCCAAUGAAUUGUGAAGAAAAUAGAUGCAUUAGUAACUAAUUAUCUAUAAAAUUAUAUGAAUUGGUCCAAUAUAUUAUUUAUUUAUUUUGUAAUUGAAGAAUUUUCUCAUGAUUAACUUAGAUGAAUAAUGAAUAAGUUAAUUAUUUUGUUGCUCCUAAUUUAACCUGGUGUGUCUAUAACUCAUGGUUCAGGUUGACCCAUUCUCUUAAUCUAACUUUGUUUGUUCAUUGAGUUGCUCUUUAAUAUGGGUGGGCUUAUUAUCAACAUGGCCAGUAAUAAUGGGAAUUGAAUCAUGCACUCUCAUAAGUGUAUCCUAGAUCCCACUAUUCCGUUUGAAAUUAUUUGAUUGCCUUUAAUCAAUUAGCACUAUCUUCCCCAACCCAUUCGCGAUGUCUCCCUCCUACGAAGGUUGCUCCCUUCCUCCUUCGUCUCAAACCUGCAUAUCCUCGUUCCCUUCCUUCUUCGUCAUUGAAGGCAAGCUUCUUCCUUUCUGGUGGGGUUGGGGUUGGGUUCUGGUAGGGAUGGGUUUUGGGGGUGGCUUCUGGUAGGGGUGGUUUCCGGUGUGGAUGGGGUCGCAUUUCAAAAUGCUCAUUCUGUAACCAAAAAAUGCUUUCGGAAUGAGCUUUCCAUAAGCAAAAAAAGCUUCAAUUUUUCAUAAGCCAAAAAAACAUUCAGAAUAGUUGUUCUGGAAGUACUUUAGCUUAAGCAACGACUAUUCCAUAAGCAAAUUUGUAAAUCCAAAACAUCCUGUCUAGAAGUGUAUUUUAUAUAUUUUGUAAGGGGGGUUCCAAAAAUUAGUAUUGGGCUUACAAAAAGCCCAUUAUGGAAGCAACAUCUGCAAUCCAAAGUAGCCUUUCCAAAAGUGUAUUUUGCAUCUUUCAAAAAGUACGAUUUUGGCUUAUGGAAUGACCAUUUCGAAAACAAAAUUGCAAUCCAUAAUAGUUUUUUGGGAGUACAUUUUGUACCUUCCAAAUGUUCAUUUGAGACAACAAUAUUUUUACUUACGAAAUAGGUGUUCCAUAAGAUUUUUCCUUCUGAAAUGGUCAUUCCAUAAGUGAAUUUAUCCCUUACGGAAAGCCUAUUUCGGAAACAAGUUUACAACAUGAACGUGAAUGCACGUUAAAAUGUACCUGCAAAGUGGAGAGUUAGAGAAGGAGAGGGACUUUUGCGGUGUUGAGUUGGACUUGCUUUGUACCUUCAAUGGUUGCGAGAAAAAGAGUUGGAGAAGAUAAGAAGAACUGGAAAAGGGGUUUAGACUUGCGCUAUAGGAAGAGAAGAACGAGAAUGGGCUGCAACUACGAGAGAAAGAAGGGAAACCGAGGAUGAGGAUAGAAAGGGUAGGUUGGGGUUUAUUAAAAAAUGGGAGAUGCAUGAUACAUUUAGGGAGGUGCAGAAUUCCAGUAAUGACCAACUCAAGUCCAAUUAAUGGUGACAUCAUAAGUUAAUGACUUAGUGUCACUUUUGAUCCAUUAUGUUUCGCAAUUAUUUUGUUUUAAUACAUUGAGUUUAAAAUGUUUCAUUCCAAUCCUUUAUGUUUUUGAAAUAUAUUGUUUUGACUCUUUUUCUAAUUUUCUAUUUGAAAUGUUAGUUUUUUGUUAAUAUUUAAAUUUCAAAAUAAUUAAUUUAUGACAGUGGUGAUUAAAAAUCGUCACAAUAUUUAAAUUAAUUAUCUUAUUAUAAAUAUAAUUAUUUAAACAUUAAUUGUAGCAAUUUUUAAUUCCAACAAAUUUCUUAUUAAAUUUUUAUAAAUGAUUCUUCAUCCUUGAAGAUUCAAUCUUCAUUCCACAAAUCAACAAAUGCAGUUUACAAAUAGCAAGAACAAUUUUUAUUUGCAAGAAACAUAGAGAUGUUCACUCAAUAAUGAUAUAAAACUUGUUCUUUUUUACACAACAAAACACAAUGAGCCCUUUUUUUUUUUAUCACAUAUGACGAAAGCAACAGCUCCAGGGUCAUUAAUUAGCUUUGCAAACGGGAUCUGAUAAUCACAACCGUGGUUGAUAAUCCUCCAAUGUAAUUUGUGUUUAUAAAUUUUAUUUUUUACUCCUUUAUAUACUAUUCAUUUUCUAAAAAAGAUUACUCAUGUAUGUAACUAAAGAUUAUAUUUUUUGUUUCUGUUUAAAAAAAUGUUUUCUUAUGUUAAUUUUUUUUCUUAAUCGAUGCUUUAAUGAUAUAAGUAAUUAACUAUUUGCUCCUGCAAUGUAGUUUAAGUGUUAUGCUACAUUGUUAGUUUUUAUAUAUGCAUGUGGGAAGGUUCACUUGGAACAAGUUGCAGUGCAAACUUGGAGUCUAAUAUACAUAUAACCAUUAAUGGAAGCCUUCAUUCCAAUAGACAAUAUAUAUAAGUUGUUUCGUGCUUAUAAAAUUGUAAUGUUUUUUGUAAAGGAUGUUUAAGUGUGUCAAAUAUGUUAUAGCAAGGCAAGGUACGUAGCAGUAAACUUUAAAUGAUGAGUCAAGCAUUUCCAGUAAAUCUACUCUAAUUGCAUGUUUACAUUGAAAUUUUAAAGUAUUAUUCAUUUUAUGUUAGUAGUCCUACAGCUGGCUACUAGCUAGCAUGAAUGUUUAUGUUGUUAUUUUGUGGAGAAAGUCAAAUAAUUGUUUUAGGUGAUUAAUUUCACGCAUUUAGAUAUGGAUGCUGAAAAUUCUUAAGUCAGACUUUGAAUUGUUUCAUGUUCAUAUUAAUAUUCAUAUAAAGAGAUAAACAAAUAUGUAACUUAGCUCUAUUUUUGUUUUGGUGAAUUAGCUCUAUUUAUUAUAGUCUAAUAAUAAUGGCUGCAUGUUGGACUAAAUAGCAGAAAUAUACUUUGCGGAGAUCAUUAAUUGUGAUCAAAAUUGUGGCAUUUUUUUAUUACCACUCAUAAAAUUAUCACCAUGAAAACCCUACUAAUUACGCAUUUAACGAUCCUCAAUUAUUUCAGUAAAAUAAAUUUUUGUCUACCUUAAUUUUUUUUUUCUGUAAAAUUCUCCUAUAGUUAAAUUUACAAUAGAAAUUUUCAAACGAUACUUUUUUUAAGUAAAUAAUUAAUUAAAUUUAUGCAAAAUAAUUAAAUUAGGUCAUAUCAAAUUUAAUAUGAAUUAGAUUAUUAUUUUAAUACUUAUUUACUUACAUAAAAAUAUUUAUUUUUUAAAAAAUAUAAUUAUUCACAUGAGAUUUAUAGCAAAUAAUUUUUUAACUUAAUAUUUUUAUAACUUAUUACAACUUUUUUAAACAUUAUACACCAUUGUUUUAUUUUUUGCAAUUUAUUUUUCUGUAGUUAAGGUACAACUUUGAUGAGGAAAAUGGACCAAUAUUAUAGAUAAAUCACAUUAGUCAAAAAAAUGUGAAUAAGAUGAUUUAUUAAAAAUCAUAUCACCAUUAAUUUAAUGUUUUAUAUAAAAGACAGGUUUGAUAAUGAGUUUAUAGUUUAGGAAAUUUAAAUUAAGUGAAGGGUAAAAUGUCAUGAAUAAGUUUGAAAAUUCAUAUCUUAUUUUUAGGUAUUGAGAGAAGGAUAAUGAAUUUUAAUGAUUUUAAUAUUGUUUAUUUGAAUUUGUGCAUUCGUUCAAUGAAUUUUAUUUUUCAAUAAAAAUAUCAAAUGUAGAAAAUAAAAUAAAAGAUUUUUUCUUUUUCACUAUUUUGAUUCUUAAUUUCAUAAAUAUUUUAAAUAAAUUUUAUAUUAAAAUUAAAAAUAUAAUAAAAAUAUUUGUUUUAAUCAAACGUGUUUUUAUUUUUUAUAUGAUUUUGAAAAGAAAUUAAAAGAGAGAAAAUACAAAAUUUUACUCACAAUAUAAAUUUUUUUCAUGAUAUAAAAAAAGAAAAUAGGAUUAAUAAAAUUUUGUAUGAUAAAAUAAUUAAUAGUAAAUUUAUUUAUUCUUUCUUUUACUUAUCAUUAUUUUAAAAAUAUAUAAAAUUUCAUCAAAAAUAAAUAUAUUGUAAUUCUUCCUCAAGUUAAAUGAUAUAUAAAGUUAUAUUUUCUUAACUCUAAUUUUUCUUUAUAUAUAUAUAUAUAUAUAUAUAUAUAUAUAUAUAUAUAUAUAUAUAUAUAUAUAUAUUUUGUUAAAUUUCCCUUUACUUCCAAAUAAAUAAUAAUUUUCAUUUUCCAAAACAAAAUUAGGUGAAGAGAUGAUUUGGAAAAAUAAGUAAAAUUUGAGAUAAUUAUUUUUAAUUAUAUAAAAAUUUCUAAACAAAAAUUGUAAAUGUUUAUCUGUCAUUAUUUUUCUGAAGUUUUAAAGUUAUUGUUUAAAAAAAAUUACACCUCCUACACAUAAUUUGUCCAGUGUGUCGCACAGAAACAUGUACUAGUGUAUGAAUAUAAGAAUAACACAUCCUUAUAUAAGUAAUUUGGUGUGAUCAUUUAUAUUUUCUUUUUCUUUUAUGUGAUUCUCAUCAUAUAAUAUAAACGGUAAUAUUAAUAUAUCGUUAGUUUGAGUAAAAUUAAGUUUAUUUUUUAAAAAUAAAAUCUAAGAUUCAAAUGUUAUAAAUAAAUAAAAAAUAUGAUUAAAAAAAAGCCAUCUAAUUUUUUUUGACAAAGGUUAAUGAUAAGUUUAAUCUGAGCAAUAACAUGACAGUAGAAGCAACCGACUGCAACUCGUCUACUUGAAUAUCUUCCUAAUAAUUGUUUCAACUUUCAAGCCUCGUGUGCUUUGACAUUUAUGCUCCAUAUCCUGAAAAUUUUGAUAAGAUAAGGGACCAAUCUAUACACAGUCCCAAGGAGAUUUGCAAGUAAGAAGAGAAAAAAAUAAAAUUCCAGACCCAUUGUUGGUGAAGGCGAAAUGUGUAGUGGGUUGUCAACGCAAUGCAAUGGUUCACAGUGUGCUGGUCUUAUUGAUGUUUUUUGGUUGCAGGUUCAAUGGUGGUUCUGAUGUAGAGAAGAAGAUGAAAGGGCCAAGGAGGAGAGAAUGGAACAGAGGAAGAAGAAGAGGGUAGAUGAGGAAAGAGAGAAAGAAAAAUCCAAAAAGAAAAUAAAAAUCCCAGCCAUUGAUUUUAAUUUUAAAAUAUCUAAUAAUUUCAAUUAGUUUCCCACUAUGCCAAUCUCGUAAAACUUUCGUCUGGCACCGUGCCUCGCUGUUGAAGGGUUCCCAUGCUAGCAUCUGCCAACACGAUCUGACAUUUCAACUAGGGGUGGGUAUAUCGGUCGGUUUAGUCCGUUUAAGAUCUGACAUGUGAAAUCAAUAUUUUAAGCUUAUUGGGUAAAUCUGGUUGUAAAAUAGAAAGAUUUUUUUUCUUUUUUUUAGAUUUAUAUUGGUUUCCUAAUCCGGUAAAUAAACGAAUUGGUCCGUGGGUUCAAUUAAUAAUUUAAAAAUAAAAAUAAAAAUAUAUUUUUAAUUAUUUGGUAGGUUCGCAAGCAAGAGAGGGGCAACACACGUCAACUGAAGAAGAGAAAGUAAUCUUGUGGAUCUCGUGACAGAAUGAGAGCUGGAGAAGGAGUGAGAGUUAAAAAGAAGAGACUGCCAAGUAUAAAGUCUCAACUCAAAUACUAAAUUUAUGUAAUUUUUAUUUUAAAAUUAAUUUUAUCUUAUUAGUAAAUCUGUGUAUAAAAUUCGUUAAAUUUGCAUACUUAACGAAUCAAACUCAAAUAUUAUUUAUAAUUAUAUGGAUUUAUAAAAAAAUAAAUUGAUAAUAUGCUCAAUCCACGAAAAUAACGGACCGUCCCCGCAAACCUGAAUAGUCAUCCCUAAUUUCAACGGAGUGGAAAGUGGGAAACCAUGAAACUUGCUACGUACUGUGAAAUUAAAAGGUCCGUACUAAUGUACGAAAUUAAUAAUCUUCUCCUCCCUUGUCGUCAUUUCUCACCUCAUCAUAUACAUAAUAAUACAUUAGUACUUUUUUAGGAGGACAGGCCAUAUAUAUUUUUAACACAUUUUUAAUAUUAUUUGUUGUUAAUUAGUUUUUUAAUAAAUUAUAAGUUAAGUUAAAAUUUAUUAAAUUUACAAAACUAUAAGAAAAAAACAUUAAAUAAGAUGUAGGAUCUACAAAAUUUAUAAUUUAUAAUAAAUUUUAACUAAUAAAUUUUAACUAACAAAUUUUCAGCAUUUUUCUAUUCUUUUAGACUACAAGUAUUGAUUAAGUUAAAACAACCAUGUGUUAAUGGUUCCUAUAGUAAUAUUAUUAGGAUAGAAUAUAAUUAUUUUUGGUACAAAAAUACAUGGGAUUUAGAUAAAAAAAAAUCCUGUUAAUUAAUGUUACAAGAUACAUUAUUUAAACAUUUAAAAAUUAACAUUACAUUUAGCAUUUCAAGUUUUCAACGGAGUAGAAAGUGGGAAACGAUGAAAUUUGCUACUCUUAAUUUAAAAGGUUCGUACUAUAAAUUAUAAUGAGAUUCGUCUUUACUUUCGCACCCUCUAUACAUUAUAGUAAUUUAAAGUGCAUGUGAUAUGGUAUGCGAAUAUUUCUACCUGUUGUUUAAAAUUUAUUUAGAAUAUAGUACGACACUGAAACAUUAUUAUCUCAUAAAAAAAAUUUAUAUAAUUAAAAAUAAAUUUAAUUUAAUACAUUGAUAAUAUAAUUUUUUUAUAUCAUCAAUUAAUUAAAAAUCAUUCUAAAUAUAAAUUUUAAAAUAACUAUUAUAAAAGUAAAAAAAAUUAAUAUACACAACAAUUCAUAAUUAGAUGACAUUGCGUUUUAAUUAAUUCAUUGAAAAUUAGUGCCUUUUAUAAUAAAUAAUCUAGAAGUGAUAUUUAAAGUGGUUUCUAAUUAGUUAUUAGUAUACAUUUUUACAGUAGCAUAGUUUUAAAAUUAAACUUCCAGUAUAUGUUUUUAUUUUCUAGAUAUACAUGCAGAUUAAAAAUAUAUUUUAAAACUAAAGGAGACUUUUUUGUUAUAUAAUAAUAAUAAUAAUAAUAAUAAUAAUAAUAAUAAUAAUAAUAUAAAGUGAGAGAUGGAAAUGUAUGAGGGGACGAUGUUCGAUUUAUUUUUAUGAUGGGAACAUAAUUUUUUAAAAUAAAAAAUAAUUAGAAAAUUUUAUUUAAAAUAUUUUUAUUAUUAAUAUAUCUCUUAUUAAAAUUAUAUAUAUAUAUAUAUAUAUAUAUAUGAGAUUGCUAGCAUACUCUAAUGUUAGAGUAUUUAAAUAACCUACAUCAAAUUAUUAGAAUAAAAAGCUUAACUAUUUAUUUUGUGAUAAUAAAUUUAUUUAAAAAAAUAUGAUAAUUUAAUAUUUAUAUUUUUAAAAUUCAUUUAUUUAUCUCUUCAACUCAUUCUCUCUCCUCUCUUUUUCUCUCACAUCAUUUAAUAUUUAUAUUUUCAAAAUUAAAAUUUAAAAUAUUUACCGAGAGAAUGAAUGAGGAAAAUAAAUAAAUGAGUUUUAAAAAUAUAAACAUUAAAUUAUCAUAUUAUUCUUAAAUAAAUUUAUUAUCACACAAUAAAUAGUUUAAUCUUUGAUCUAAAUAAUUUGGUGUAGGUUAAAUACUCUAACAUGAGAGAGUAAGUUAACAAAUCAUUUUAUGAAUGUACGUAUGGGAAGGAAGAAUGUAAUAGAAAACAAAAAAGAAAGAAAAAGAAGGAAAUUAAAAAUAAUAAAUGUAAUUAAUGAUUUAAGAAAAAAAUAAAAAUAUAGUAUACAAACGAGAAAAUAAUUACAGUCAGACUCAGAAACUGUCAUGAUAUUUAUUCAUCUCUAAGUAAAACAUAAUUUUAUUUUAUUUUAUUUUCCCCUCAGAAUUUUAAAAACUCAAGUGUCUCAUGUAUAGCCAAAAAAACCAUAGACGCAUGGUAGUUGGAGAGCCGAGAGCCUACAAUUAUUUCUGAGACAAAAGAUGGAAGAUAAAGUUUACAUAAUUGUUCUCUCUCCAAUUUCUAUUAUAAGAAAAAAAAUAAUUUCAUAUUAAUUAUAAAAUUAAUUAAUUUUAUUAAAUUAUGUUAAUUCCAAAUAAAAAUAAGUUUUUUAAAAAAAUUAUUUUUCAUUAAAACUUGAUAUCAAACAUAAAAAAAAAAUUAUCCUAUCAAAUGAAAGACAUUUAUUUAAAAAUAGUUUUAUUAAAUACGGUAAAGUUAAUUAACUUUUGUUUAUAUAAAAAAAAGCAAUUUUUUUGUUGCUUAUUAAAAAGACCAGUGGGAGUACUAAUUAAAACAAAACUAUGGCUGCUAUGUAACAUGGCACCAGAGAGUCUCAAUCCUUAGAGAAAUUAAAUACCAAACUUUGACAUUUCACAGAGUGAUGGUAGUAAUAAAUGACAAGGAAUGAGACCCAGCAUGGACCCAGUCCUUUGACCACUAUUAUUGUCCAGCUCAAUUGAAAUUUUUUUAUUAAGAGUUUAACUUAGUUGAAUAUGAUAAAUAAAUUAUUAUAAUUUUUUAAUAUUUAUUUUUAAUUUUUAUGAAUAAAAAACUAUUACAAUCUCAGUUCAUUUUCUUGGGACACGUAAUCAAGUUUAAUAACUAUUUCUCAUAGCUUAAAAAUUCAGUUAUGUCGAGUAUUUAUGUACAAAUUAGUUAGAACAAUAGGCGCGUAUAGUGGUCGCCCUCUAAGACAUAUAAUUGUGAAGAUCGAAGAGAAGCUUUAUACAAUUAUUAAUGAUAAAACUAUCAUUGUUAUAUAACAUGGGGCCAUAAAUGAGUGCAUGGAUUGAAUGAUGCAAAAUUGUUACAACUUAAUUAAUUAUCUUGAGUUUUAAUUUUAAAUAUAUAUUUGUGUUAAAUACUCCGGAAAGAGUUUUAUGUUCAUAAUUAUUAUAUUUAACUUGAACAAUAUUAACUCAACUGAUGAUGCAUAUAUAGUUUAUACAAAAAAUAUAUAUAUAACAUGGGACCUAGGCGAUGGCAAAACGGGUUGGAUCUAUUCGAUCAACCCAUUUUGGGCUUUUUUUUCGAAUUAGGUUGGAAUUUUCAAUCCUUCAACUGCUUUGCUAUGUUUUGAUCCGCUACAAAAUGGGUUGAGAGGAAAGUAGAACGGACCAACUCUCUAACCCGUUUUUUUUAUUAAGAAAUAAUUUUAGUAUUUAUUUUGAUAUUUUAUACUAAUAUUUAUUAAUUUUCAAUUAGCUUAUUUUUUGUCUAAAUAAAUUAUUAUUAAAAAUUUAAGGUAAUACAUUUAAUUUUUUAGUAAGUAUUUAUUAUUUAAUAUUUAUAAAAGAUAAAAUUAAUUAAAAUACAUUUAUAAUUUAUUUUUUUAGUUUUGACAUGACAAAAACGAAAUGAACUGAACACUUUGAAUCUAUAUAUAAAAUACGGGAUGAGAUGGGAUGGAUUGAUCCGUUUUUUAUGGAUUGAUCCCUUUUUGCUAGCCCUAAUGGGACCAAAGAGUCACUAUCCUUUAGAAAAAUUCACACCAAACUUUUGACAUUACAGGCAGGGACAAUGCGAGUAAUAAAUGGCAUAGAAUGAGACCCUAGUCCUCUGGCCACUAUAAAAAGGGAUGAUUGUGUGUGUUACAUGCAUCAGCCACCACCAUUGACUAGUAUCAUUAAGAUGGCUAAUUCCUACUUAUCCUUGCUUGUCUUGAUCCUUGUAGCUCUGCUCCUCACCCCUCAAGGGCUUGCUGAUGAAUCUGAUUCUUACUAUAAGCCACCAGUUUACAAGAAACCACCAGUGUACAAGCCCAAGCCCAAGCCACCCAUUCACAAGCCCAAGCCACCCGUUUACAAGCCCAAGCCACCCGUUUACAAGAAACCCCCUUAUGGUAAGUACCCACCAGUUCAAGACAACGAUCACUUCUAAACCAUGCAACAAGGCAUGUUAAUGUUAACUAUCUACUAAAAUAAAGAGGUUCAGUUAACCUACUACGUACGUUGCUCCUUUUAAUUCCUAAAUCGUAAUUUACAACUUUGUAGGGAUGAGACAUUCUUGGCUAGCUCUGCACUUCAAUCCUUUAUUUGUACAAUGCUAUGGCCAAGUCAAUACCAUGCAUCUUAUCUAUGUGUGUCAUUGAACGAAGUAGUUGCGUGAAAAUGAUGCUUGUACUAUGAAUAAAUAAUAAAAGAACUUUAUCAUUUCAAGAUUGUGCUGUUUAGUUUAUUUGCUGAACCACCGUUACUGACCAUAAAUAAUACACAUGCAGGUCUUGUUUAGGAUAAACUUAAUUAUCCGUAA
This 64863-nucleotide long non-coding RNA is filed under the name Glycine max (soybean). Its description in RNAcentral is "long non-coding RNA (GMAX_LNC002462)". The record is from RNAcentral. Lineage: Eukaryota; Viridiplantae; Streptophyta; Magnoliopsida; Fabales; Fabaceae.